Molecule: long non-coding RNA, 55706 nt
Filed under: Triticum aestivum (bread wheat)
Lineage: Eukaryota; Viridiplantae; Streptophyta; Magnoliopsida; Poales; Poaceae
Description: long non-coding RNA (TAES_LNC027493)
Source: RNAcentral
ACCUUCAUCCAAGGCAACUUUUCCAGUAUUGCCUCCCACUGGCUUAACCGGACUCCUAACGCUAACAGGCUGUAAAUGAAAACAAAAAAGCCACACCUUAAAAAAAUGAAUAUAGAAAACAAAACAAGCAAAUGAAUGCAAGUAAAAAGAAAAAAAAAGAUUGCACAAGGUCAACUAUUAAAACAACAUCAGUACCACCCCCUCAAUUGAUGCAAACAAUAAUCAGCCUCACCUGGCCGCAAAUACCAGCCCAAACACAAUUAAAUAGUUGCAAGUACGACUAGUAGGUCACAUGCAGUACAAAAACACAUACCACUCCAAACAAUGAAUAUAGAAAACAAAACAAGCAUAUGAAUGUUACUAAAAAAAGAGAUUACACAAGUUCAACUAUUAAAACAAUAUCAGUACCACCCCUCGAUUGAUGAAAACAAUGACCAGCCUCACCUGGCCAGCAUGCCAGCACAAACACAAAUUAAAAAUCAUUGCAAGUACAACUAGCAAGUCACAUGCAGUACAAAACACAUACCACUUCAAAUUCAUCUUCUGAAUCAACUUCAAUAUCAUCUUCUUCAGAUGCAGCAUCUUCAGCUUCAACACGAGCCCGCUUCUUCCCACCUUUGUUCACCUUUGCAGGAUGAACUUUACGCUUCUUAUUUUCUUUCAACAAAGACCGCUCUUGAAGAGGAGAAGAAGAAGGCUUCUUAUUUGUCAAACCUCGUGGACUACGAUGAACAACGGAGCCACCAAGUUUGCUUGGACCAAUUUUCACAGCAACAUUAUCCGCAUCACCUUUGCUACUACCAGGUUGGGGACCAGCUUUCACACGUGGGCUACGCCUAUGUGUGCUGUCAGCAUUUCGAUCUGACAACUUCCUCUUCAAAACAGCUUUCUUCACCUUAACUCCAUCACGAUCAAAAGCUUGCGCCAACCGAGAUUGCAUCAAGUUUGUCUUCACAGGCAUGUCACUUCCAUGAGAUCCAUCAUGAACAGUUGAUAAACCCGCGUCACCACCUUCAUCGCAUACACAUUUAGGAGCUUGAGCAACAUCAACAUCACUUUCUAGCACACAGGCAGCCUUUUGACGCCGUUCCAAUUCCUUCCUCUACUGGAAUUCAUACUUCUUCUUUCUUAUCCUUUCAUCCUCGAGCUGCAACUGCAUAGGAACAUCCUCAGCUUGGGUUACAAGCUCAAUGCCAUCAACACUUUGAGACUGAGUAACAGACAACUGCAAGCUGCCAUCACCAUCAUCAACGUUUAGUGAAUACAUCCCAUCAUUAAUAUCUUUAACAACAUCAGAAAUGUCCUCUGGAACACCAUGGCUGUCAUUAACUGCAUAAACCAAUAACAUAACCACGCACAUAAAAAAUUAGAACACAAUUAACAUUGCAGACACAAACAUAAAUAAAACGCAUACCAUCAGACACAAACAAAAGGAACAACUAAUGAAACCAAGCAUAUAUAUGUAUUAAAGGCUGAUAAAAAAAGAGCAAAUAUAAGGGAAACACCAGCAACAUUCGCAAGUUCUUCUAGAGGAUUUGGUGUCUCAAAAAUAACAUUCACAAGAUCUUGAAAGCGUUCUGAAUUCUCAGAAUCAGGAGGCACCGGCACUCCAACAUCUGCAACAACAUCAUAAUUAGCAAAAAAGCACAAAAACAAUCAGUCAGUUGAACUAUGUGAACACUACAAGUUCACCCGAAUAAAACAAAAUAUGAACCCACCACUUGCAAAACAAAACUUCAGAAAACACAACUCUUUCACCACCAUACUAGUUCUUCACUGACUACUACAAUCUAUUCAAAAUGUGAGGACAGCAGUUCAAAAUACACGUGGUGAUAAGUACUACAAACUGUCUGCAGGUUGCGUCAACUGCCAAAACCAUACGCACCAUACAAUCCAGGACAAAAUUAACACAUAUCAAAAUACAUACAACUUAUAAAGUCGAUACGGCAAACAACUGUACACCCUAAAAACCAGAUAUGUUAAAACAUCAUCCAAAAUACAGGGAAAAUCACCUGCAUUCAAUUUGUCCGGACUGGAUGAUGUACCCAUUGAAAUCUACAGUCCUAAAAUCUGCCGAACCAGAUCUGCAAGACACAUGAACAACAAUUAGGGAUUUGAACUAUUUCAGAAAUGAAGCACGCCAUAGAAAAAGCAAAACUCUUACCAGCAAACACAAAAUCCGCCAUGCAAAUCCAGUAUCACUGCCGCCAAACGGUCGUUCAACAGCAAAGGAACCCUAGCGAGUGCAGCCUGGGAUAGCAAAGAGAGCAACAAAUUAGAAAUAGAGGGAAAAUAUGAACAUGAGAGGACGCAAGCAAAAGUCAAUGGCAGAGCAAAAAGAAAUGAAACAGAGCACCCGGACCUCCACCCCUGGGGUUGAACCCUCCGGCCGAUGCUCCCGCGGCGAAACAGGAGUAGCAACUCCCCCUUCGAGAAAAGAAGAGGGGAACAAAGACGGAGCCGAUUUGGGGAUGGGAGAGGAGCGGAACGGGGAAGAUCGGAGGUUAAAAGGUGAGUGGGAGGGUUAAAAGAUGAGUGCGAGAAAACGGACGGCUAAAUCCCACAACCGUGGCGAAGCCCACUAUCUCUGGCCAGUUACAAAAGAUAAUACCAAUAAUCAAAUACAAAAUAAAAAAUUAAUAUAGAUGGAGAAAACAAACGGCUAAAGUACAAAUUAUAACUCACAUCAGUACAGAAAAAAUUAUCAAAAAAGUACAAAUGAAAAAAUAAUUCAUAACGGUGCUGGUUAUUCCCCUAAAAAAUAAAGAUAAGAUAAUGGGGGCAAGUCAUGUUACGGACUCGCCUCCGCAUGCGACGCCGCGGCACGCCGCGUCGUUGCCUGCUACGGCUCGUUCCUAGCUCGGCCUCGCCGGGAUGGGGGAGGGCGGGCCCCGACCACACCUCCCCCANNNNNNNNNNNNNNNNNNNNNNNNNNNNNNNNNNNNNNNNNNNNNNNNNNNNNNNNNNNNNNNNNNNNNNNNNNNNNNNNNNNNNNNNNNNNNNNNNNNNNNNNNNNNNNNNNNNNNNNNNNNNNNNNNNNNNNNNNNNNNNNNNNNNNNNNNNNNNNNNNNNNNNNNNNNNNNNNNNNNNNNNNNNNNNNNNNNNNNNNNNNNNNNNNNNNNNNNNNNNNNNNNNNNNNNNNNNNNNNNNNNNNNNNNNNNNNNNNNNNNNNNNNNNNNNNNNNNNNNNNNNNNNNNNNNNNNNNNNNNNNNNNNNNNNNNNNNNNNNNNNNNNNNNNNNNNNNNNNNNNNNNNNNNNNNNNNNNNNNNNNNNNNNNNNNNNNNNNNNNNNNNNNNNNNNNNNNNNNNNNNNNNNNNNNNNNNNNNNNNNNNNNNNNNNNNNNNNNNNNNNNNNNNNNNNNNNNNNNNNNNNNNNNNNNNNNNNNNNNNNNNNNNNNNNNNNNNNNNNNNNNNNNNNNNNNNNNNNNNNNNNNNNNNNNNNNNNNNNNNNNNNNNNNNNNNNNNNNNNNNNNNNNNNNNNNNNNNNNNNNNNNNNNNNNNNNNNNNNNNNNNNNNNNNNNNNNNNNNNNNNNNNNNNNNNNNNNNNNNNNNNNNNNNNNNNNNNNNNNNNNNNNNNNNNNNNNNNNNNNNNNNNNNNNNNNNNNNNNNNNNNNNACGCACCCACACCCCUAAGAUAGAUAAAUGGGGCAAAGUCCAUACAAGGAAGAUGUGUCAGUACAACUAUGCCCCUUGGUACGGUUCGGUGCGGGGGCAAGUCACGACCCUCAGUACUAUAUAAAAACAAACAAAAAAGAAAAAGAAAAAGAAAAAAAAUUGACAGCCCAAGGACAAAAAAGUACCAGUCCAAGAUACUGGUAUAGUCUAGUGCUAGAUCCCAAAAACAACCAAAUAUGAAAAAAGUGACCGCCCAAUGACAAAAAAGUACCAAUCCAAGUUACUGGUCUAGUCAAGUACUAGAUAAAAAACAAACAAAAAAUAAAAAAAUUGAGCGCCCAAGGACAGGAGCAGGCCCACACACGCAUGGGCCUGCCGUCCAGGGCCCACUGGUCGACAAAGAGAUAGCGAGCGCCGUGUAUAACCGCUCUGGUAAGUGUUCAUAUGAGUUCGACUAGUGAGAGUCGGCUGCGCUUAUAAACAGGACCGAGCCCCUCGACUAGCCAGGUGGGACUAAACCCAGAGCGCACACGCACGCCGUGCUCCACAGCUGCGCGAGAGAAACUAUUCGGGCCGAAUACAACGACCCAGGUCGAUGGCCCAACAAAGUACUUCGCCCCAUAACAAAAAUCCAGUAGAUCACGCAUGACAAAAAAUAAAAAAUGAAGAUAAUUUUUUUAAAAAAAAACCCAGUUAAUAAACAAAAAUAUUGUAAAAAGUUCAAACACAUCUUAAUGGUAAGAACUAAUAUAUAUAUAUAUAUAUAUAUAUAUGAGACUGUAAAUAAAAAUUUCAGGAACGAAUUUACAAAAAAAUCAACUACUACAAUUCAAAAGGGUUCAAGUACAAAAUAAAAAUAAGUACUGAGCAGCGAAGAUUAAUUUUUUUUAUUUUAUGAAAUACUAAAACUAUCAUUGUUCAUCUAUUAAAAAAGGAAAAAACGUUCUCCAAAAUUCAUGUAAAAAAGUAAGGAAAAAAAUAUUAUACAACAAACAAAUUUGAUCGGUAAUUGACAAACUAAAAUAGAUCAGUACUCUCAUUAAAAGGAUGUAAGUUCAGCAAAACUCAAAUAACAAAAAAGCAGUUCUAAAAACUCAUCAGCGUAUAGCACCGUCUGCGAGUUAUGAACAUGAAAAAUAUAUCAGUCAAAACAAAGGAAGCCCAUCAGUUCAACUAUAGAAAUUGUUCCGUAACUAAUAUAAACAAUGUAACAAAAAAAUAGUUAUACUUGAGCAGAACAAUAGGAAUAACAUUACAUAACUAGUUCCAUACCAUUCUGAUAAUACCAUACAAUUCAACCAUCUCACAUGCAAAAUGUUUUAAAAGAAAAAAAAUACUGCAACAUAAUCAGCCACACACAAAAUCUCGCAAAACCGGCGUCAUUUGCCACAUUUAAACCUACAGCACAUAGAUUCUGAAUGUCAGAGAGUCGUCUUCUCUCGAGAACAUAACCAUAACCACAUCACCAUCCUCAAAUCUAGACUCAGCAACAAACUCCUUCCACCCAAUAGUUAGGUUGAUGCAACCAUCAAAGUCGAUGUGGUAGGCAACAUCCAUCAACUGAUACACAUUCUUGUCUGAAGUCUCCAUCUCCAGAACACCGGAUCUAGGAGCAACAAUCCUGAUCCUCGAUGACAUUUUCUGCAAAUGGGCAUGGGAGUACAAAACAAAAUGAACACCUGACAUAACUGAAUUUUUACACGGAUAUAGGAACGAUUUGCAUAACAAACUAAAAUGGAAAAAAUCUGAACCAAAACAAUAACACAAAACUAACUAGACAUGUGAACUGACUAAACUGAAGAAAUAUACAAAUCAAUACACCUACAGUAAAAACAUCUAUUCAUAAAUAGAUCAGGGAUUAUACAAAAAAAUGGUUAAAAUACUGUUAAGUAAUGAGCAAAUACACACAGAAAUCCAUACUGUUAAAAUCUCACAAAACCAAAUUUAAAAAAUAUAGACAAGCUAUUCAUUAGACAAAACUGCAGAUCCAGUCCAUGGGAUUCAAACAGAAACCAUCAAGAAAGUAGGAACCAAAAUGAAUAGAAACACAUACCCAUGAUUCCUUCAAGUCACCAUCCGUCAGGCGACAAACAUAGGGUGUAUGAAACCCAUGGUUGCUGUACAGCAAACAAGAAAGUUGCCCGCGCCGCUGAGUCUGAGUGAGCUCCAGUCCAGACUCGUACACACAGCCGUCAGCUAUGCGCACCAUCUUUGCCAGGCAUCCGCAUGAACAAUCCUCCAUGGAACACACAGGAACAGAGAAAAAGGCGACGAAGAGAAGAGAGAGGAACCUAGAUCUGAUUCUGAAGAAGGAAGAAAAGGGAGUGGGAAGACUUGGCCACACACCACACAUAAAUGGAUAGCGUUUAUAGUCAGGGACACUCGCAGAUUAUAAAAAUAAUAAAUAGGAAGAUGGGCAGCCAGCUGGUAGGAAAUAGUUAUUACACAAGCCAUGCAACAUUUGACCGCAAAUCAGUACAACUUCAGAAAAUCAAGCAGUUCAAAGGUGCACAUGUCGAACAUAUGCAGACAAAACAACACAUUCAGAGACAAAAACAAGUUCAGUUCAUUUAGUCAUUCGAACAUCUGCUCCCCCACAACAAAAAUCAUAAAAACAUAAUGUUCACUACUUCAGUCAUAACGAUCAAAGAAACAACGCCAUUUUGCCCUGGUGGAUGGAUGUGGAGCCGUGGCUGCUCUCGCCCUAGCCCAACUAAUGAUCUGAAUAUGGUUCCUUCCCCUGCCCUCUGGGAAAAGAAGAUCCAAUUCAUUGGAGUUGCAAGUAUCCAUCACCUCACUCGCAAGCCGUCUGUUGAACUCUGCCUCCAGUUCCUCCUCGGCAGCACGUCGCGCCAUCUGCCUGCGCCUGCGCCUCCUCCUUCUCUGCUCCGCUACUGCAGCCCUCACAUCUAUGGCGUCCCCCUCCUCCUCUGUGACCUCUCCCAGCUCAGAAUCCAUCCCCCCUUUUCUUUGGUUGCAGCUCGUAGAAUGAAACAGACAGAGGGCUCGGGCUUUAUAUCAAAGUGCAGAGCCAUCAGUGCGGCUCCAAUGUCAACACACAGUAAUAAAAACUUUGACACGCAGCAGUCCAACUACACAUACGGCAGCAAUUCAAAACAACACUGAAAAACACGCAAAUUAAUUACGUAGUUUGACCAGAUUACAAGAAAUCGCAUCUUACAGUCAGCCGCCAUACACCAACACCGCCAAAGACAAAAUAACAUGGGAAUCCGAGGUAGAAACAACUAAAAAAGCAAAAUUAACAAUGCAAAUCUUUUCAUACAAUCCUUAUAUCUCUCCCUGCAACGCCAAUUCGAAAGUAAAAAACAGAAAAAGAAGAGCAGAAUUCCAUGGCGGGCGUCGAAAACGAACAAGAACACCAAAACUUGUAAUCAUGAAUUACAGAGGAAAAUAAUCUCAAAAAACCAUAACAUACCGAUAAAUUCUCACAUAAAAAACGACAAACACGACAUAAUUUGAGGUCCGUGAACACCACAGUAAAACACUAACACCAAAAAACACAUCCGCCGCCAAAAUGACCACGUCGUCACCUCCGGUGACUACAAAUCGCAAAACACAUCCAGACGAGCGCGCGCACGUGCGGAACCCCUUUAUGUGUCUCCUCUAGCAACGAAUGGCCCGCAGCAACGCGCCAGAGAAUGGCCGAAAGCUCAACGUUGCAUCCCCUGUUUCUGUCCGUUGUGCACGCAGGAACAUCAGUUCUUGUUGAAAAACACGUCAGUCCAACCUGUGAACUACGUCAGUACAGAAAGGGUAACAGAACAAUAUUCUGUUACGCGUAACACAGUAGCCCAGAUGUGUGUGUGUGUGUGUGUGUGUGUGUGUGUGUGUAUACAGACGGUCUAUUCUGCUAAUAUUAGCAGAAUAACUAUUCUGCACACCACUUCCGCACUGCAUGCUGAACGCAAGUGCACUGCAUCUUCUUGACGACGAGCACUGCAAUAGAGACUAGUGAACUUCUCGUUGGAAAAAACUAUAUGCGUUAUUUUUUCGGUACUGUUUUCGCUCUAAUUUUUUAACCGUUUAUCGGAAUGAGGCGUGUAAUAUACCGUUGAAAAGCUAUGGAUUAGGCGCAACUUCGACAUGUUGAACACUUUUCGAGAUUCCACGCGGUUUAAGAGCAGUUUGAAAAUGGUGCGACGGAUGAUGAGUGGCAGUGAACGUUUUUUCGCGUUUUUUCUAAACCGCUUGUCGGAAUGAAGCAAAUGAUAUGCCGUUGGAUAGAUAUCGUCGAGGCGCAUCUUUUUCAUAUAUAUAUCUUUCUCUAAUUCGUUACGGUUGAAGAGCAGUUUCAAAUUUACUAAAUCGCGGAACUCUGUUUUUUCAAAUUUUUUGAAAUUUUCGGUACUGUUUUCGCUCCAGUUUUCUAAUUGUUUGUCGAAAUGAGACGUAUGAUACGUCGUUGGAAAGCUAUGGACAAGGCGCAACUGUCGUAUGUUGAAAUGUUUUUGAGAUUCCUUACAGUUUUUAGUUAAUUUUGAAAAUCGUGCGGCUGACAUCGAGAGGCAGCGGCUGUUUUUUCGCGAAAUUUUUCCAAACGGCUGGUUAGAAUGAUUCAAAUCAUACGCCGUUGGAAAGAUACCGACGAGACGCAACUUUUUCAUGUAGAACACUCUCUCUAAUUCCUUACGGUUUAAGAGCAGUUUCGAUUUUACCGAAAAGCGGACACUCUGUUCUUCGCGAGACCAAAAUCGUCGUAUGUACUGCAUCGGACAGAAGAACGCAUUGCUUCAGACAAAAUACCGCACUGCAUCAGAUGAGCAAGUGCACUGCAUGGUUUCUUUUUAUUUAAACGUAUUUUUUCUCGGACGACGAAAGAAGAAAGCACUGCUUCAGACGAAAUACCGCACUUCAUCAGAAGACAAGUGCACUGCAUGAUUUCUUUUUGUGGGACGUAAAUUUUCCCAUACGAGUUUUUGUUUUUGUUGUCUUUUUUUCAACUUUCUUUUAUGAAUGAGAGUGGACCUCAAAGACAAGGGCAAGUGUGCCGCGACAUAUAUCAAAGUGAACCGCGUUAUCAUCUUGUUGUUUCGCUAUUUUUUUGCAUUUUCAUGUUGGGGACAAGUGAACAAUAUCACUCUCAAAAGUGGACCACAUCUGAGGACCAAACGCACUUCAAAAUGAACCACACAUAUUUUUUGUUUUCUUUUUUGUUCUAGAAAUUCUUCUGCACUUCGAGGAUGAGGCGAGUGGACCGCUGGGACAAGAAAGUGAACCAUACCGUUUUUUGCUUGUUUUUGUUUUUUUAUCCACCACCGUGUGUACCCUGAAAUUUUAACAUUUGGAGUGAGCUGCAAUAAACUGCCCUGUGCCGUAGGCAAGUAAAACCAAAGUGAGCUGCUAGGGGAAACUGAAGUGAGCUGCAAACCAAAGUUCUCCGCCACCGCGUGUACCCUGAAGCCAAAGUUCUUUUUUCCAGAGCAGCAAAGGAGAACUCUGGAGUGAACCACCAAGUUUCUUAUCGAAUAGUAUUUUUUAAAACUUACCAAACACAACCCUAUAAAUUUACAUAAAACCCACUCAAAACAAAAUGAAAAAUAAAUCAAAGCCGUAUGUCCUGGGUCUAGUUGAUUUGACCCUGCCAGCACCAAACGAACUGCGAGCGUGACGAUGGUUAGCAGCCCGCCCGCGAUACAGAACAGCUUGCCAAUGAACUGAACAAACAUCACGCCAUGAGCUGCAUGCACACACAGGACACCCUGACCAGCAUACACACACCAGCCGAACCUCAUCUUUGAUCAAGCUAACUGCACCAAAGCACCUAUUGGCAAGGAAGGGAAAAUACCAAGCUGCAAUGGGGCACAGCCGAACCGCACGACUAUGACAUUCAUAGGCAGAAAUGCCACCGCGACUCCCCUGCUGCUCCCGUUGAAGUAGUUCACACCACCGUCCUUCUCUAUCCUGACAAGUGAACAGCAAGAAAGAGGUGGCUGAAGAAGGGAACCGCACAUCUACAACAAAUAAACUACAGAAAAAUUCAAAAAGUACUGCAUAACCUGCUCCGGCGUACUGCACGGUUGGGCUCGUCCCACAUGUGACCAUCGACGGUCGUCAGAUGCAGCCUGCACGCCUGCAAUUUUUUUUUCGCCCACCCGUUGAAGGUGGAGAGCCAGAGAGAGGCCAGGCAGACGAACGGCAGCGCGGUGGCUGUUGAUCUCAGCCGGGAUCGGAGAAGACGCCCCCUGGAGUAGUGUGACCACCAUGGAACUGCUGGCUCCUGUUGGAUGGAUGUUGCACAAGACGACCCCGUCGCGCGGGAUCCCUGUAUUUGCAAACCUCCCCAUGCCGCCAAUGAUCCGCGCCGCCGGCAUCUUCGUCGAUGAGCCGCGAUCCACCAAAAGCGUCGAAGCUAGAUCCAGCCAUGGCAGAGGCAGAUCCAGGAAACGGUGGGGGAGGAAGGUUAGGGAAGGGAAGGCACCAGACUUGUGCUCGCCGGUGUUAGGAGGUAGUACCAGGAGUGGUGGGGUGGGUGUCGGCUUGCGAGGUGGAGGGAUGGCGCGCCACGGGGAGAAGGAGGCAGGGGCGCUGGGAGGGCGCGACGGCCGGCAAGGUGGUGUGGUUGGAGGUGAGAGGCGACGUGCCGGCGUGAGCCCGGGAUGGCGGCGGGGUGGGAAGGCAGGUGGUGCGGCGGUCGGAGGGGAGGCACGUGUCCGGGGAAGAAGUGAAGAGGGGAGGGAGGGAGGGAAGCUGCAGGGGAAGGAGGCCGGAGGGCACCGGGCACGCGGCCGGCGGCGAGGCCCUUGGCCCCCGGUGGGAGAAGGUAGGGGGUCGGGGAAGGUGAGAUCAGAGUGGCCUGGGGCGACCUCCACGCGUCCGGGGAAGAAGGAAAGAGAGGAGGAAGCCGGCGGCGCCGAGGGAAGUAGACUGGAUGGGGGUGGCGCUGGGGAAGGAGAUCAGAGGCAGGAGCUGGGAACGCUGCCGGCGGCGCGACCCUCGGCCCCCGGCGGAAAAAGCUACUAGGUCGGGGGAAGAAGGUGCGAGAGAGAUGGGUGGUCGUGCUAGCAGCCAUGGGGAUUUUUUAUUUUGUAGCUGCGGUUCAUUUGGGGUGGGUAGGGUGGUCGGUUUGGUGCUUUUAGCGGUGCUCAAGUGUUAGCAGAAUAAGAAAGUGGUGUGCAUAAUAAGGUCUUAAGGGGUGUUAUCAUAAUAGACCCACCCUAUAUAUAUAUAUACACACACACAUCUGGGCUAUUCUGUUACGCGUAACAGAAUAUUAUUCUGUUACCCGUUUUGAACUGAUGGUUUCAGGUGGUUGUACUGAUGUUUUCGAAGCAGUUGAACUGAUGUUUUUAGUUGUGUUAAACAGACCAUCUUCUUUAGUUCAAAAACUUUUUGUAAUUUUUUUGUCGUAAUAGGGCGUGUAAUAUAUCAUUGGAAAGCUCUUGACAACCAUAUUUCAAAUAUAUUGAACGUUUUUGCCAAAUCAUUAUGGUUUAAGAGCAGUUUUGAAAAAACCGUUUUUUAAAAACCGAAAACGUGAAUCGUAUUUUGGACUCAAUUUUCAAAAGGUUUGUCGGAAUUGAGCAAAUAAGAUGGCGUUGAAAAGCUGGUGAAAAUCCGCAUCUUCCAUAUAUGUAUCGUUUUUUCUAAUUCUAUAUGAUUUAAAAGUAAUUUGAAAAACGGUGAAAUUCUGGGCGAAACGUAUUUUCGCAAUUUUUUGCAAACGGUUUAUCGGAUUGACGCAAAUAAUACGGCGUUGGAAAGCUAUGGAAAAUGUGCAACGUUUUUGUAUUGAAAUGUUUUUAUAAUUCUUUACGGUUUAAAAAUGAAUUCGAAUACGGUCAAAUUUGAUUUUGAACGCGAUUUUUUUAAAAGUUUGUCGAAAUAGGGCAAAUAAUAUACCGUUGGAUAGCUAUCGAAAAUGAAAAACUUAGUCAGUUGAACAUUUUUUCAUAUUUGCAGUCGUUGAAGAGUAAUUUGGAUUACGGUGAGACCCAUCAUGGUGUUUUUCCUUAAAAAAACAGAGUACUCGUACUGAUAUAUUUGUGUGUUUGUACUGAGGUAUUUUUCAUUGUAGUUUUGAAUGGUUCCAAAAAAAGUACUUGAAUGGAUGUCUAUAUGAUUUUGUACUAGCGUGUUUCCACAUACUAGACUUUACUUUGUAUUUAUUUAAAAAGUUUUCAAUAUGGCAAGACACAUCCUGUUGUUUUCCCGUCUGAUAAACAAAGUACUUGUACUGACAUAUGUGUGUGUUUGUACUGAGCUAUUUUUCACAAUCUGGAAUGUUCAGGGGGUUGAUCACUUGAACUUGUAGAAAUGUAACUUUUAGGUUUAGUUUAAAAUGUGUUUCGACGUGUCAUCAUCAUCGAACUUGCAUGGUUUAUAUACUUGAAUUGGCUGAUUUUUUUUCUCCAAGAAAUGUUUUUGUGUUUUGUGAUAGCAACCAUUGAUGCAACAAUCCUAUACCGAAUUUGAUAUGCCCUUUGAACUGACUAUAAAAUACAUACUGAGCUGUUGGACAUAUGGUAACGCGUGAAAACAAUUACAUAAUCAUCCACAGGUUGUACAUGUUGCAAACAAUUAUCAAAUGCUAAGCUACAGUCUGUACACUUUUUUUUGAAAUCAACAUUUUUUUGACAAUGAUGUUCUGAACUUCUCUCAUUCUACGACUUGUACUGAGGUACUUACUAAGCAGGAUUUUCAUGGGGUUCCUUUUUUUGCUUGAAAUUUUACAGUUUGAAUUUCGGCCAUUUCUUUUAUUCCGAACGGACCACCGCUUUUUUAACUCGUACCGAGGUACUUACUACGCCCGAACUGGGGUGGCUGUCGCGUGUCUCGGCGAGGAAAAGGACGAAGCUCGGGGGCGCGGCUGGAUUCGGCCGGUAGGAUGCUGUGCAAGGCGGGGGGUGACAGGCGCAGGGCGGCGGGGCUCGGAGUGGCAGCGCACGGCGGAGGGGCUCGGGGGUAGCGGCGCGGGGCGGGGAUGGUGGUGCGCGGCAGCGGAGGGAGGCUGGGACGACGCGCGACAGCGGAGGGAGGCUGGGACGGUGCGCAGCAGCCGCCAGAGGCGGGGACGGGCCGCGGCAGCCACCUGAGGNNNNNNNNNNNNNNNNNNNNNNNNNNNNNNNNNNNNNNNNNNNNNNNNNNNNNNNNNNNNNNNNNNNNNNNNNNNNNNNNNNNNNNNNNNNNNNNNNNNNNNNNNNNNNNNNNNNNNNNNNNNNNNNNNNNNNNNNNNNNNNNNNNNNNNNNNNNNNNNNNNNNNNNNNNNNNNNNNNNNNNNNNNNNNNNNNNNNNNNNNNNNNNNNNNNNNNNNNNNNNNNNNNNNNNNNNNNNNNNNNNNNNNNNNNNNNNNNNNNNNNNNNNNNNNNNNNNNNNNNNNNNNNNNNNNNNNNNNNNNNNNNNNNNNNNNNNNNNNNNNNNNNNNNNNNNNNNNNNNNNNNNNNNNNNNNNNNNNNNNNNNNNNNNNNNNGGGCUCCCUUGCUCCGGCUGCCGCCGUCGCUCACUCACCCCCGACGGCUUCCUCCGGCGGUAGAAGGCGGGUUGGAUUGGGGGCGGGUCAGCGAGUUUCUACAGUGAUCUGCGCAUCGCGCCCUUAUAGGGACAGAGGGUAACAGAAUAGUAUUCUGUUAUCGGUAACAAAAUAGUCCAGCCCUAUAUAUAUAUAUAUAUAUAUAUAUAUAUAUAUAUAUAUAUAUAUAUCCAAUUGGAUGUAAGUUAGCAUGAAGUAUUAUUGUUGACAUUACCCUUGAGGUAAAACGUUGGGAGGCAAUAUUAUAAGCCCCUAUCUUUCUCUGUGUCUGAUUAAAACUCCAUAACCAUAAGUAUUGCGUGAGUGUUAGCAAUUGUAGAAGACUAAAUGAUAGUUGAGUAUGUGGACUUGCUGAAAAGCUCUAUUGUUGACUCUUUCCGAUGUUAUGAUAAAUUGCAAUUGCUUCAAUGACUGAGAUUAUAGUUUGUUAGUUCUCAAUGAAGUUUCUGAACCAUACUUGACAUUGUGAAUAGAUUGUUACUUGAGCAUAAGAAAUCAUAUGACAAAUUAUAUGUAUGUUGCUGUUAUAAGAAUGAUCAUGAUGCCCUCAUGUCCGCAUUUUUUUAUCGACACCUCUAUCUCUAAACAUGUGGACAUAUUUUUCGGUUUCGGCUUCCGCUUGAGGACAAGCGAGGUCUAAGCUUGGGUGAGUUGAUACGUCCAUUUUGCAUCAUGCUUUUAUAUCGAUAUUUAUUGCAUUAUGGGCUGUUAUUACACGUUAUGUCACAAUACUUAUGGCUAUUCUCUCUUAUUUUACAAGGUUUACAUAAAGAGGAAGAAUGCCGGCAGCUGGGAUUCUGGGCUGGAAAAGGAGCAAAUAUUGGAAACCUAUUCUGCACAGCUCCAAAAGUCCUGAAACUCCACGAAAGUCAUUUUUGGAAUUAAUAACAAUUAUUGAGCGAAAUAAGUACCAGAGGGGACCCACACCCUGGCAACAAGGGUGGGGGGCGCGUCCACCUUUACAGGGCGCGCCCCCCGCCUCGUGGGCCCCCUGGCGACCCCCUGGUGCCCAUCUUCUGCUAUAUGAAGUCUUUUACCCUGAAAAAAAAUCAUAAGCAAGCUUACGGGAUGAAACUCCACUACCACGAGGCGGAACCUUGGCGGAACCAAUCUAGGGCUUCGGCGGAGCUGUUCUGCCGGGGAAAUAUCCCUCCGGGAGGGGGAAAUCAUCGCCAUUGUCAUCACCAUCAAUCCUCUCAUUGGGAGGGGGUCAAUCUCCAUCAACAUCUUCAUCAGCACCAUCUCCUCUCAAACCCUAGUUCAUCUCUUGUAUCCAAUCUUUGUACCGAAACCUCAGAUUGGUACCUGUGGGUUGCUAGUAGUGUUGAUUACUCCUUUUAGUUGAUGCUAGUUGGUUUAUUUGGUGGAAGAUCAUAUGUUCAGAUCCUUAAUGCAUAUUAAUACCCCUCUGAUUAUGAACAUGAAUAUGCUUUGUGAGUAGUUACGUUUGUUCCUGAGGACAUGGGUGAAGUCUUGCUAUUAGUAGUCAUGUGAAUUUGGUAUUUGUUUGAUAUUUUGAUGAGAUGUAUGUUGUCUCUCCUCUAGUGGUGUUAUGUGAACGUCGUACAUGACACUUAACCAUUGUUUGGGCCUAGAGGAAGGCAUUGGGAAGUAAUAAGUAGAUGAUGGGUUGCUAGAGUGACAGAAGCUUAAACCCUAGUUUAUGCGUUGCUUCGUAAGGGGCUGAUUUGGAUCCACUUGUUUCAUGCUAUGGUUAGGUUUACCUUAAUACUUCUUUUGUAGUUGCGGAUGCUUGCAAUAGGAAAUAAUCAUAAGUGGGAUGCUUGUCCAAGAAAGGGAAGUACCCAAGCAGCGGUCCACCCACAUAUCGAAUUAUCAAAGUAACGAACGUGAAUCAUAUGAGCGUGAUGAAAACUAGCUUGACGAUAAUUCUCAUGUGUCCUCGGGAGUGCUUUUCUCAUUAUAAGAACUUGUCCGGGCUUGUCCUUUGCUACAAAAAGGAUUGGGCCACCUUGCUGCACCUCAUUUACUUUCAUUGCUUGUUACCCGUUACAAAUUAUGUUAUCACAAAACUAUCUGUUACCUACAAUUUCAGUGCUUGCAGAGAAUACAUUACUAAAAACCGCUUGUCAUUUCCUUCUGCUCCUCGUUGGGUUCGACACUCUUACUUAUCAAAAGGACUACGAUAGAUCCCCUACACUUGUGGGUCAUCAUUGGCAACAAUACAAUACGUGCCUUGCUGCCCCUGUUGUCACUGGGAAAGGACACCGCAAGAUUGAACCCAAAGCUAAGCACUUCUCCCAUUGCAAGAAAGAUCAAUCUAGUAGGCCAAACCAAAUUGAUAAUUCGAAGAGACUUGCAAAGAUAACAAAUCAUACAUAAAAUAAUUCAGAGGACAUUCAAAUAUUGUUCAUAGAUAAUCUUGAUCAUAAACCCACAAUUCAUCGGAUCUCGACAAACACGCCGCAAAAAGAAUUACAUCGAAUAGAUCUCCAAGAAGAUCAAGGAGAACUUUUUGUUGAGAAUCAAAAACAGAGAAUAAGCCAUCUAGCUAAUAACUAUGGACCCGAAGGUCUGUGGUAAGCUACUCACACAUCAUCGGAGAGGCCAUGGUGUUGAUGUAGAAGCCCUCCAUGAUCGAUUCCCCCUCCGGCGUAGCGCCAGAAAAGGCCCCAAGAUGGGAUCUCACGGGUAUAGAAGGUUGUGGCAGUGGAAAUAGGGUUUCGUGGUGCUCUUGGAUGUUUUCAGGGUAUAUGGAUAUAUAUAGGCGAAGGAAGUCGGUCACGGGAGCCACGAGGGGCCCACAAGGGUGGGGGCGUGCCUACCCCCUGGGCGUGCCUCCCUGCCUCGUGGCCGCCUUGUUUCUUUCUUGACGUCCACUCCAAGUCUCCUGGAUUGCGUUUGUUCCAAAAAAUAACUCUCCCGAAGGUUUCAUUCCAUUUGGACUCCGUUUGAUAUUCCUUUUCUGUGAAACACUGAAAUAGGCAAAAAACAGCAAUUUGGGCUGGGCCUCCGGUUAAUAGGUUAGUCCCAAAAAUAAUAUAAAAGUGCAUAAUAAAGCCCAUUAAACAUCCAAAACAGAUAAUAUAAUAGCAUGGAACAAUCAAAAAAUAUAGAUACAUUGGAGACGUAUCAAUGCUGUGUGGGACACCAUAACGGUGUACGACACCAGAUAUGAAAUCUACCACUGGCCCGGCUUCGGCCGUUUUAACUAGUUUGGCCCCUAUCCACUUAGUUAAUUUAUCUACCAUGACCAACAUAUAUUUUUUCUUAUGGCUUCCCCCUUUAAGGGGUCCGACAAUGUCAAGCCCCUAGACCACAAAAGGCCAAGUAAUGGGGAUUGUUUGUAGGGUGGUAGGCAGCAUAUGGCUUUGAUUGGCGAAAAGUUGGCAUCCUACACAAUGCUGGACGAGGUCUUGCACGUCUUCUUGGGCCGUAGGCAAAAAAAAACGGGUUUGGAAGGCCUUACUUACAAGGGCCCAAGCUGCAGCAUGAUGACCGCUAGGACCAGCAUGGAUUUCGGCCAAGAGUUGCCGCCCCUCUUCUUUGGAGAUACACCUUUGAAGGACUUCGGUAUUACUUUUCUUAUAGAGCUCUCCUUCAUGAACCUUGUAGGCUUUUGUGCGUCGAAUGAUGCAUCGAGCCUCAUUCUGGUCCUCAAGGAGCUCUCACCUAUUGAGAUAGGCCAGGAAGGAUUCGGUCCAUGGUGCGAUUACUGCCAUGAUUACAUGAUCCGAUGGUGUUAUUAUGGUGGCCGAGCCCCCGAUGAUAUCGGGAUUGUGUUCGGGAUCUGGGGGUAUGAUUGGAUCUGGACUCGCAUUGCUACUCUCGUCUUGCCAUACCACGGAUGGCUUGAAUAGCUUUUCCACGAAGGUGUUAGGUGCGACAGGGUCGCGCUUAGCGCCCAUGCGAGCAAGGAUGUCCGCUGCCUGAUUACUCUCUCGGGCCACGUGAUGAAACUCAAGCCCCUCAAACCAAGCUGAUAUUUUACGUACGGUGUUGCGGUAAACCGCCAUCUUUGGAUCUUUGGCAUCAAAUUCUCCAUUUAUUUGGGAUAUUGCGAGGUUUGAAUCCUCGCGCACCUCGAGGUGUUGUAUGCCCAUAGAUACAGCCAUCCGAAGACCAUGCAAUAAGGCCUCAUAUUCGGCUGCGUUAUUAGAGUCUGUAUACUGUAUUUGGAGCACAUAACGGAUUCUAUCUCCUGUGGGGGAUGUCAGGACGACGCCAGCCCCAAGUACGGCUAGCAUUUUAGAGCCAUCGAAGUGCAUCACCCAGUUGGAAUAUGUGCCAUACUCUUUAGGGAGUUUGGCUUCCGUCCAUUCGGCGAUGAAGUCAGCCAACACCUGAGAUUUAGUGGCUCGGCAUGGCUUAUAUGUUAUUUCAAAUGGUAAGAGCUCAAUAGCCCAUUUGGCAAUCCCACCGGUGGCGUCCCGGUUGUUUAUGAUAUCAUUAAGUGGUACCUCGGAAGCCACCGUGAUCGAACACUCUCGAAAGUAGUGCCGCAGCUUCCGGGAUGCCAUGAAGACUGCAUAUGCUAUCUUUUGAUAAUGCGGGUAUCGGGAUUUACAUGGUGUGAGGACCUUCGACACAUAGUAUACUGGUUUUUGCAGUGGGAAUUUAUGUCCCUCUUCCUCUCGUUCGACGACGAGCACCGCACUCACCACGUGAUGUGUUGCAGAUAUGUAUAGUAACAUGGGUUCACCGACGUUUGGCGCAGCCAGGAUUGGGUUGCAUGCUAACAAAGCUUUUAUUUAUUCCAGUCCGGCUGUUGCAGCAUCUGCCCACGCAAAGUGGUCGGUGCGUCGGAGCAGGCGAUACAAUGGCAGCACCUUUUCUCCUAAUCUGGAGAUGAGGCAUCUCAAAGCUGCUACUCAUCCGGCUAGUUUUUGGACCUGUUUGAGGUCUGUUGGUGUGGCCAACUAUUACAGGGCUCGGAUUUUGGCUGGCUUUGCUUCGGUUCCCCUAUUGGAAACGAUGAACCCAAGCAAUUUUCCUGCGGGAAUGCCGAAAACGCACUUUUCUGGAUUGAUCUGUAUGUCAUAUCUUCAGAGGUUGUCGAAAAUAAGGCAUAAAUCAUCCACCAAUGAUUCGACAUGCUUAGUUUUGAUGACUACAUCAUCUACAUAUGCCUCGACUGUCUUGCCGAUUUGCUUUUGCAAGCAUGUUUGAAUCAUGCAUUGGUAUGUGGCGCCAACGUUUUUGAGCCCAAGGGCAUGGUGUUGAAGCAGAAGGGGCCAUAUGGGGUGAUGAAUGUCGUGGCGGCUUGGUCGGAUUCCUUCAUCUUGAUUUGAUGGUAUCCGGAGUAUGCGUCGAGGAAGCACAGUGAGUCGUGUCCUGUAGUGGCAUCAAUAAUCUGGUCGAUGCAAGGUAGUGGGAAGGGAUCCUUAGGGCAGGCUUUAUUAAGGUCCUUGAAGUCGAACACACAAGCGCCAGGAUUUAUUCUUCUUCGGCACCAUGACCAGAUUUGCUAGCCAAUCUGGAUGUUUGAUCUCUCUGAUAAAUCCGGCUUCGAGUAGCUUGGCUAACUCCUCACCCAUAGCCCGUCGGUUGGGUUCGAAAAAUCACCGCAGUGUUUGCUUGACUGGUUUGUAUCCCUUCAGUAUGUUGAGACUAUGUUCGGCCAGCGCGAGUGGGAUUCCCGGCAUGUCCGAGGGGUGCCAGGCAAAGAUGUCCCAGUUCUUGCGCAAGAACGUGCGUAAUGCGGCGUCGACCGCCGGAUCCAGCUAUGCCCCAAUGGAAGUUGUCUUCUUGGGGUCCGUCGGAUGAACUUGAAAUUUGACUAUCUCGUCUGCUGGCUUGAAAGAAGUGGAUUUGGGCCUUUUUAUCAAGAAUUACAUCGUCUCUAUCCACUGUGGAACGCAGAGCGGUAAGCUCCUCGGCCGCCAGGGCUUCGGACAGUGCCUCAAGGUCCAGGGAUGCGGUUUUGUUUUCGGCGCGGAGUGCUAUGUCCGGAUCACUGGAGAUAGUGAUGACGCCGUUGGGCCCGGGCAUUUUGAGCUUCAUGUACCCGUAAUGAGGUAUGGCUUGAAAGCGUGUGAAUGCAUCUCACCCUAACAGGGCAUGAUAUCCGUUGUUGAAAGGGGCCAUCUGGAAGAUUAUCUCUUUAGACCUAUAGUUCUCUGGCGUGCCGAAUACCACAUAUAAUUUAAUUUUCCCUGAGCAUCUUGCUUCCCGACUGGGGAUGAUUCCUUGAAAGGAUGUAUUGCUUUGCUUAAUGCGACUCCUGUCCAUUUGCAUUUUAUUGAGCGUGUCUUCGUAGAUGAGAUUCAGUCUGCUGCCGCUGUCCAUGAGCACUUUAGUGAGGCGAAAGCCAUCCACAAUUGGGUUUAGAUCCAAAUGGUUGGUGCGUGGACUGAUUGGGCCCUUGGCUCAUCAUUAGCCUUGAAGGUUAUCGCCAUGUCAUUCCAUGGAUUUAUUGCAGCUACAUGAUUGACUUCGGCGAGGUCGCGGAGCACCCUUUUGCGUCGGUUGUUUGAAGAAAAGGUCUCGAAGACCAUAAACACAUUAAGGUCAUUAUCCUAGGGGGAAUACCUUGUAGGAGUAGUGUUGGUGAGGAUGGCCUUCCCGCUUUUAGCCACGUGCCGAAGUAUCCAACAUGCCUGAAGGUUAUGAGUUGGCUCAAAAUUUGGCAUCGCGUGUAUCUGACAGGGCUUGUCGAGCCAUCCAUCAAGGACGACUUUGUGUGCCGUAAGGGCUGAAUUUUUCUUUCCGUGGAAGAAUGAUCAGGUGCCCCGUAAGGGUGCAUCCUUUUUGUUCGGCCGGUGGGUGUCUUAAAGGCUGGUGGCUCCCACCAAGCUGUAUGGGCUUUCCAAGCGCUUUCCAUUGUGCAAUACUUCUAUACUAUGUGUGCCAAAUCUGCAAAGUGCGGAACGUGGCAUCGAUUGAGGGUGUUGAUGAUGCCCUCGUCCAUACAGUUGCGGCAAAAUACUGAUACCGCAUCGUCAUCGCAUCAAUCUGUGAUCUUGUUUUUAACAUGUAGGAAUCUAGCCCAAAAGUGAUGGACUGUUUCUAGAGGUUGCUGUCGUAUAUACAUUAAAUUGCAUAGAUCCGGGGGAUCGGAAUUGGUUGGAGAGUAUUGAUUGUGGUGGGUGGGUGGGCUUGAAUCCAAACCCUGACCCACUGUGGAAUUCGGAUUUUGAAAAAUUUCUGAGGUCAUUGGCCCAGGGUCCGGAGUGUCCGGGGGGUUUUUAGACUCAGUGCCGGAUUCUAUGUUCGGGAGAGAGAUGAUCCCUUCUCGGAGAUGAGUGUCCGGCUCAUAGGGCUCGGAGAUCCAAACAUAGUUUGUUUUUAGCAUAGGAGGAGUGGUAUCCUCAACUUGCUCUUCCACAAUAGUCACCAGGUGGGUGACAUGUGGAGACCUGAUUUCCCUCUGAUCGGGUUUAAGCCCAAAGAUCGUAAUCUGUUGCGACCCCAAGGGCAGCGAUGCGAUCUAGCAGUUUGUUUAAAGACGAAACAUCUGUCGGGUCCAUCUUAUCAACACCUUCGGGGUUGACGCGGAGAUGAUUUUUGGCAGUCCGGGGGACCGCCUUGGGCUUAAUGGCUGGACGGGCGCUUAUGGUGAAAUUGCUGAUCUAGAGGAUCUACCCAGGAACUAGGGCUCUUCCAUAGGUGAUUUUGUCAUUGACGACAAGGCGAGCCAUCGAUCCCUCUAUCAACAACACGAAGGAACUCUCAAUGAAAGCACCAAUGUCGGUGUCAAAACCGGCAGAUCUCGGUAGGGGGUCCUGAACUGUGCGUCUGAGGAUCGAAGGUAACAUGAGGUAGGGGACAUGAUGUUUACCCAGGUUCGGGCCCUCUUUAUGGAGGCAAUACCCUACUUCAUGCUUGAUUGACUUUGAUGAGUAUAGGGGUUACAAGAGUUGAUCUACCUCGAGAUCGUGGUGGCUAAACCCUAGAUGUCUAGCCUGUAUGAUUAUGAUUGCCUCUACGGACUAAACCCUCCGGUUUAUAUAGACACCGGAGGGGGCUAGGGUCAUACAGAGUCAGUUUACAGAGAAAUGAAUCUUCAUAUCUGAAUGCCAAGCUUGCCUUCCAUGCCAAGGAGAGUUCCAUCCGGACACGAGAGAAGGUCCUCGAUCUUGUAUCUUCACGGCCCACCAAUCCGGCCCACAUCAUACAGCCCGGAUCCCCAAGGACCCCCUAGUACAUGACUCCCUCAUGCACCCCCGAGAACGAGGUUCUUAACUUUAAACAAAGGGGAGGGGAGAAUUUAAAAGAUGCUUGGUAUAGGAUUUGCAAUGCUCAUAAUAUAUCUAUUCGUAAGCACUCUACCAUUGUUCUUCUUCGUUGUUUUUAUGUGGGCAUCACUACUUGGUAUAGAUUCGUCCUUGAUACAAUUACUGGUGGGAAGUUCUUGAUGUGUCCUUCUCUAGAUGCUUUUAAUGCUAUGGGAAAUCUUGUGGGAUCACCACCUCUUUUGGUUAAUGAAACAACUUUAACUCUCGAGCAUGUUAUGAAAAGGCUAGACGCUAUUGAAAAGAAAAAGCUUAUCGAAGAACACAUUGAGAACUUGGAUAAAAAGAUGCAUAAUCUUGCUAGUAAAAUUGGGUCAAAAGCGAGAAAGGUUCUUAAGUGGUUAAAAGAAAAGGGGACCGUAAUUCAUGAAAGAAAUUAAGAAAGCCUGUCUCAGAUUGAUAAACUGGAAGAAAUUUUUAGUAAUCUAAGCAUGGCUUUUGCUUCCGCUAAAACUAUUGAAUAAACUCCUGUAAAAAUUAGCAAGAUUACUCAAGUUACUAAGAACAAGGGUGCAACUUCUAGUAAUAAUAAUAAAGGAGACCUUAAGAAGAUUAGUAUUCACCCCAAUUUUAUUGAAGUAGUAAGAGACCCUACCGGCAAGAAUGAAUUUCUCAUACUUGUUCCUAGAAGUAUUGUUAUUGAAAAUUUAUAUGCUAAAUUUUUGAAGAAUUCUAAGUGUUUGAUUGAAGAGUUGGAAAAUGAAGAUGAAAACACCUAUAUCUAUGCAUUAUGCCUAGCUAGGGGCAUAAAACGAUAGCGCUUGUUGGGAGGCAACCCAAUGAAUAUAUUUUUUGUCUUUUUGUUUCUGUUCUUGAGUGUUUGCACAAUUAUGCUACUGUUAUGAUUGUCUUUUUUAUGUCUUAAUUAGUGUUUGUGCCAAGCAAAGCCUUUGGGAUCAUGUUGGGUGAUACUUGAUUUGAUCUUAUUGAAAUUAGAAACUCCUACGUCCAGUAAAACAAUUUUGAAAAUUCACAGAAGCGUGAUAAAAUUCUGAUUUUUUUACACAAGACGUUGUCCUAUGUUUUCAGGGUUUUUGUAGUUAUAGAAGUAUUCGAAGUUUUCAAAUUGCUACAGACUGUUCUGUUUUUGACAGAUUCUGUUUUCUUUGUGUUGUGUGCUUAUUUCGAUGAGUCUAUGGUCUAUAUUGGAGGGUAUAAGCUAUAGUAAAGUUGGAAUAUAGUAGAUAUGAUGCAAAAUAAAAUAAAAUAUGAAUGGGUUUGCAAUAGUACUUACAGUAUUGAUUUGUUUUGUUAUACAAACAUAUCUCAUUAAGGUUUUGUUGAGUUUUGUGUGAUUGAAGUUUUCAAGUUUUGGGUUAGAUCAUGAUGGAUGAAGGAAUAAGGAGUAAGAAGAGCCUAAGCUUGGGGAUGCCCAUGACAUCCCAAGCCAUUAUCUAAAACAAAAGCAAGCAACUAAGCUUUGGGAUGCCUGAGAGGCAUCCCCUCUUUCUUCUAACAACCAUCGGUAUUUUACUUGGAGCUAUAUUUUUAUUCUUCACAUAUCAUGAGUUUUGCUUGGAGCAUCUUGUAUGAUAUGAGUCUUUGCUUGUUUUGCUUUUUAUUUUAAUUCAAGUAUCCUUGCUGGACACACCUAUUUGAGAGAGCCAAAAUUAUGCUAUGAUUUGUUAGAAUUGCUCUCUAUGCUUGUAAGGGCAUAUUUAUCCCUUGGUAGUUUUGGUGAUUGAUGACAAUGCUUUUGCGGACUAAUUGUGUGCAGUGAGCAUUUCAGAUAUACCAUGUCUAAGCACAAGACGGUUUGGUGCCCCUCGAAGACUAUCGAAGACGGUGUUUCUCUACGUUUCUUUUUGGUGGAUUUGAGUCGUAGGAAAGCCGUACUAUUAAGAGGGGGUCCGCGUUGGAAAGGUUUAGGUGGAAUCAUCAUGUACACAUCUUUUCCAUUUGCACCACCUUCCCUUUGGCUCUUUGGAGCAUCCUCCGUUUUUCCGUGUCUCUGUGAAAUGAAGGACUCCUAGUGUUGCUGAAUUGGGGCAUGCGGUAGUACUGCUCUCAGGAGCGGUAGUACCGCAGAACCUUGUUGUAGUACCGCAGGUGCCCACGGUAGUACCGCGUCACCGGCAUGGUAGUACCGUGGCCCCAGGGCAGGCCCAGCGGCUUGAGCGGUUGUAGGGGAGGAUGUGAUUUUUUACAUCCGCGUCCUACACGGUAGUACCGCACCUCAGACACGGUAGUAAUGCGAGCUCUGGGUAGGCGCGGCAACACACGUGGAAGUAGGGGUGGAUGUAAUUUUUGACAUUCGCGCCCUACGCGGUAGUACCGCUCCAGGUGUGCGGUACUACCACAGAUCCCAACCCAGCAGAAGUUGCCACGGAUGUAUUUUUAUAUGUCUGUGCCCUCCCAAAUCUGGACUAUCUCUGCCUCGUGGUAGUACCGUAAGGGGGAGCGUUAGUACCAUGCCGACGGUUCUACCGCCCUCUGCUGCAUGGGCGGUAGUACCACAGAGCAUUUCGGUAGUAUCGUGAGCCCUUGCGGUAGUACCGCGCCUCCGGUGCGGUAGUAUCGUGCUUUGCAGGCAAAGUUGGUGGAUAAUGGUUGGAUUUGUUCUUCCACUAUAUAAGGGGUGUCUUCUUCUCCGAGUUGACUACCUCUUCCAUCCCCAAGCUCCAUUGAUGCUCUAAGCUCCAUUUUCACCCGAAAUCUCUCCCUAGCCAAUCAAACUUGUUGAUUUUCUAGGGAUUGGUUGAGAAGGACUAGAUCUACACUUCCACCAAGAGAAAUUUGAUUCCCCCCACUAAUCCCUUGCGGAACUUGUUACUCUUGGGUGUUUGAGCACCCUAGACGGUUGAGGUCACUAUGGAGCCAUAUUUCAUUGUGGUAAAGCUUCAAGGUGUCAUUGGGAGCCUCCAAUUAAGUUGUGGAGAUUGCCCCAACCUUGUUUGUAAAGGUCCGGUCGCCGCCUCCAAGGGCACCAAUAGUGGAAUCAUGGCAUCUCGCAUUGUGUGAGGGCGUGAGGAGAAUACGGUGGCCCUAGUGGCUUCUUGGGGAGCAUUGUGCCUCCACACCGCUCCAACGGAGACGUACUUCCCCUCAAAAGGAAGGAACUUCGGUAACACAUCGUCAUCUUCACCGGCUCCACUCUUUGUUAUCUCAUGCCUUUACUUGUGCAAGCUUAUUUGAGUUAUAUCCCUUGCUUGCUUGUGUGCUUGUUGUUGUUGUUGCAUCAUAUAGGUUGCUCAUCUAAUUGCAUAUCUAGACAACCUACUUUGAUGCAAAGUUUAAAUUGAUAAAGAAAAGCUAAAAAUAGUUAGUUACCUAUUCACCCCCCCUCUAGUCAACUAUAUCGAUCCUUUCAAUUGGUAUCAGAGCCUCGUCUCUUUAUUAAGGACUUUGCCGUCCGAAGAGUAUGGUUGACUCCAUAAACGGUGAGGAGGAGCACCCAGGUGUGAUUCCAUCCUCGUCUACGGACGACGAGGAAACCUUGUUCUCAUGCAAAGAGUUCAAUAUGGCUUUGGACACAUUGAAAACUUUCAUGACGACCGAGGUCAAAGGCAUGCUCAAGAACUUUCUUGAUGGUCUCAAAUUAUCCACCGCAUCGUUGGAAGUGGUUGAUACCACUAACAAGGUGACGGAUGCUAACUCCAACAAGGGGGAAGCUACUAGUGAGAAAGUUCCUUUGUCUAGUGGUAGAAAUGGUAGUGGCAUCUUUGCCCAUGUGGAACCUCCUCUUACUUAUGGGGGACCCAUUCCCUCCACUCAUCUAAAUCAUGUCGGUCCUCCUCCUAAGAUUGUGAAAAAUGAGGACUUUGAUGCUUGGGUUUAUCACUUUAAACGUCAUUUCAAUCAUGUUAAUACUAAUCUUUGGAGAAUCAUUGAGCAAGGUUUCUAUCCGCAUGACCCAAGCAACUUCACCCCUAGAGAAGCCGUGGAUCAUCAAUUCAACAAGAAUGCUCUCUUCAUCAUCCAAGAUGAAAUUCCUUCCAAAUAUCUUGCUCAUCUCCGACCUUUCACCAUGGCCAAGGAUGCAUGGCACCAUGUUGUAUCCAUUUACAGGGGAAGCGCAAGCAUCCAACGCUCCAACUAUGAAGUGGUGCAAGAUUAAGCCGAUUAGUUCGCAAUGAAAGAAGAUGAAGAACCUCGUGAGCUUUACUGGAGGCUAACCACUCUAGCGGUCUCACUAUGAGAUCAUGGGAGCAAGGAUACGGAUGACAAUUGGAUCAAGCGCAAGUUUCUCAAGGCCAUGAUGCCUUACCACAAGGCCAUAUCCUCUGUUAUCCGUCAAAGGCCGGACUUCCACACCUUGUCCUCGAGUGAAGUGUUGGAUGAGUUUGUGGCAAUGAGGAUCUUGGACAAGACCGCCGACAAUGCGGUGUUGCGUUCUCAGAGAGCUAAAAGGACCAACCUUGCUUUGAAGGACAAAGUUAGUGUGGAAUAAUAGGAUGAUGAGGAAGAAGAAGAGAGCAAUCCCUAAGAUACAAAAUAUGCUUAUCAUGAGCACAUGGCUCUCCCAUCAAGGCAAUUUUGGAGCAAGAAGAACUCAAGGCCCAACUUCAACAAGAGCAACUCAAGUGGCACGAAGGGCAAGCAACAUGUGAGGACUUUCUAUAAUUGUGGCAAUGUGAGCCACUUUGUUGCGGAAUGCCCAUAUGAGAAGAGGGAAGACAAUGGUGGCAAGCUCAUCCGAAAAGACAAGGCCAAGUCAUUCCCCAACAAGAGCAACUUCACCAAGAAGACUCCUCCCAAGGGGUUGGUGGCACAAGAAGAGUACAAUGAGGAUGAUGAUCAUGAUGAUGAUGAUGAUGAAGACGGUGAGUCGGUUGCCAUGUCCUCCGUUGCCAUUGUGACAACUCCUAGGGUGUCUCUCUUUGACUCACCUAAUGAGAACAUCACCGCCAAGUGCCUCAUGGCCAAAGCCACCAACAAGGUAACCCCCAACAUCAAAACUACCAUCAUUACUAAUCCUUCUUUGAUGGAUUGCAUUGAUGAAAAUGAGGUGUUUAAUGAGGAGGAAAAUAAAUUUGAGUCAUUUAUGAGUAAGCUCAAGGGUAAAUCCAAGAAGCACUUUGUUGCUCUCUUGGAACAACUUGGUGAAGCCAAUGACAUGAUUGAGGCUCAUGAAGAAACCAUCUCUAAGAUGGAGGGGCAUAGUCGUGACUAUGUCGAUGAGAUAUCGGAUCUCUCUAACGCUCUUGAAGAAGAGUGUGGUCAUCGUUUGGCUCUUGAGGAGUCAUACAGUGAUGAUCAUGCUAAAUUAAAGAAAGAUCUUGAUCAUGCUCUUGCUGUAUCUCGUGUGCUAAAUUCCGAGAAAGCCAAACUUGGGAUUGAUCUUGCUAGACUCAAGGAGGAGUUUGAUAUACUUGAAAAGGCUCACAAGGCCUUGAAGGGUACUCAUGCUAGUCUUAAAGAGUCUCAUGAUCAACUCCAAGUGAAGCUAACCAAGGAGAAAGCUACGUUUACUCAUAUGGUUUUAAUUGAUAAUGCAAAUGCUACUAACACUUGUUGUGAGCAUGUGCAUCUUGUUGAGGAUAAUGCAAAGUUGAAGGAGAAACUUGAGAAAGGCCUUGUGUCGUGCAUACAAGGUGAGAAGAAUCUCAAUGACCUUUUGAGUAAUCAAAAGGAAGUUGUGGCCAAGGAAGGGAUUGGGUUCGCACCCAAAUCCAAGAACAAGAAGAAGAAUGACAAGACCAAACGACCUCCUCCUCUCAAGCAAACUUUUUUGAAGGAGGGAGAGGGUGCUCCUAAGGAGAAGAAUAAGAACAAUGGGAAGGGCGGUGAUGCCAAGAAGGGCAAUGCUACUCCUUCCAACAAAGCUGGCAACUUUAACCCUUCUUAUAUGUUAUGCCGUGCUAGUGAUGGACAUGUUUGUGCUAAAUUUGUUGGCUCUCCUUAUGAGUACAUUGAAUGGUCUAUUUGGGUUCCUAAGACCCUUUUUACUAACAUCAAAGGACCCAUUACAAAAUGGGUACCUAAAACCAAGCAUUGAUCUCUUGUAGGUGUUUGCUUCCGGUGGGGGAUCAUGGUUGCUCGAUAGUGGAGCCACAAAUCAUAUGACCUGAAGCAAGGACUUGGUGGUGGACGUACACAAGAUUCCAUCUAUGCCCACCAAUGUCGAAUGGGGUGAUGCCUCGUCUUCUAAGGUAUUGGGCCUUGGCAAGGUUGUCAUUUCUCAUUAUCUCACGAUCGAGAAAGUCAUGCUUGUUGAGUCCCUUGCAUACAAUUUACUUUCUGUUCAUCAACUUGCACUCAUGGGCUUUGCCACUUUCUUUGAUAUUGAUUCCGGGGCCCUCUUGUGGAGCAAGACUCUUAAAGUAGCCUUUGUUGGGCAUGUCGAGAAUGGUCUCUAUGUGAUUAACUUUUCAGAGCGACCCACUAAGACCGCGACAUGCCUAAUGGCUAAAGUUGACGUGGGAUGGCUUUGGCAUCGCCAUUUAGCCCAUGUCAAUAUGAGAUCUUUGCAAAGUCUUCUCAAGGGGGACCAUGUUCAUGGACUAACAAAUGCUAGUUUUGCUAAAGAUCGUGCUUGCAGUGCGUGUAUCGAAGGAAAGCUUCAUGAAAAGGCUCACCCUCCCACAACUAUCAUUUAUUCAAAGAGGCCUUUGGAGCUCCUUCACUUGGAUCUCUCUGGGCCUCCGUCAUUUGAUAGUAUUGGGGGUAUAAAGUAUUGCUUGGUGAUUGUGGAUGAUUAUUCAAGAUACACUUGGGUAUAUUUCUUCAAGAGGAAGAGCGAGACCCAACAAACCGUCAUUAAUUUUGCAAAUGAAGCUCAACGCCAACACAAUGCAAAGAUCUUGACGAUAAGAAGUGACAACGGCACCGAGUUCAAGAACUACACCUUGGAUGAGUUCCUUAGUGAUGAGGGGAUCAAGCAUCGAUAUUCCGCACCUUACACCCCUCAACAAAAUGGUGUAGCAGAGAGGAAGAACCGGACGUUGAUGGAUGCGGCAAGAACCAUGAUAGCGGAGUUCAAGUCCCCAUACAACUUUUGGGACAAAGCCAUCAACACCGCGUGCCAUGCAUCAAAUCAGCUCUACCUCCGCAAAGGCUUGAACAAGACUCCAUAUGAUAUACUCACCAGUAACAAGCCCAGCCUCAAAUACUUCUGGGUGUUCGGGUGUAAGUGUUUCAUUCUUAAGAAAAGUGUCCGUUUGUCUAAAUUUGAGGCUAGAGCUCAUGAGGGCAUAUUUGUUGGUUAUGCUACAAACUGUCAUGCUUACCAUGUCCUCAAUAAGUCCACGGGACUUAUUGAGGAGACGUGUAACGUGGAGUUUGAUGAGAAUAAUGGCUCCCAAGUGGAGCAAAGUGGUACUUGUGAUGUAGGUGAUGAAAUUCCUCCCCAAGCCAUAAGAAGAAUGUGUGUUGGCUUUAUCCUACCCAUUGAGGAACCCCUUGUGGCCGAAGGAGAAGGACAAUGUUCCACUCAAGUGGAACCAUCACCAACUCAAGACCCACAUGCUUCCUAAGAACAAAGUGAAGGCCCUCAACCGAAUGAACAAGAUCAAGGGCAAGAUCAACCUCAAGAUGGUGAUGAAUCAUCAAAUGAUGCUCAAGAUCAAGCUCUCUCCUCCGAGCUAGUUCAAGCUCAAGAACAAGUUCAAGACGACGCUCAAGAUGAUCAAGUUUCCACUCCUCAACUCACUCCUAAGGAGGAAUUGGAGCGUCGUGCCGUGAAGAUUGCAUCCAAGCUCACUACUAAGGGACAUCUCAUGACAAAUGUGCUUGGAAGCAUUUGAAAGGGGGUAAGCACUCAUAGAAAAUUGGCAAACUAUUGUGAACAUCACGCGUUUGUAUCUUGUGUUGAACCCCAAAAGGUCUAUGAGGCGCUCGAGGAUCCGGAUUGGCUUAAUGCCAUGCAUGAAGAACUCAACAACUUCAAGCACAACAAGGUGUGGAGAUUGGUGCCAAGGCCAUCGGGGAACCAUAAUGUCAUUAGAACCAAGUGGAUAUUCAAGAACAAGCAGGAUGCUCAUGGUAUUAUCAUUUGCAACAAGGCUCGAUUGAUAGCACAAGGCUACUCCCAAGUCGAGGGUAUCGACUACGUUGAAACCUUUGCUCCCGUUGCACGCCUUGAAUCCAUUCGCAUGUUCAUUGCUUAUGCUUCUCAUCAUAACUUUAAGAUACAACAAAUGGAUGUGAAAAGUGCUUUUCUUAAUGGUCCUAUUAAUGAGUUGGUACAUGUCAAACAACCCCCCGGGUUUGAGGAUCCCUUUUUCCCCGAUCACAUGUAUCAACUCGAUAAGGCACUCUAUGGCCUUAAACAAGCCCCACGUGCAUGGUAUGACCACCUUAUUGAGUUGCUACAAGAUCGUGGGUUUGAAAUUGGGAAAAUCGACCCCACUCUUUUUACUAAGAAGGUCAAAGGGGAGUUGUUUGUGUGCCAACUAUAUGGUGAUGAUAUUAUCUUUGGUUCCCCUAACAAAGCUUUCAAUGAGGAAUUUGCCGCACUCAUGACCUCCAAGUUCAAGAUUUCCAUGAUGGGAGAGUUGAAAUUCUUCCUCGGGUUCGAAGUCAAGCAACAAAGAGAAGGAACCUUCAUCAACCAAGUGAAAUACACUCAAGACAUGCUCAAGAGAUUCAAGCUAAGUGAUGUCAAGCCGGCUUCCACUCCAAUGCCCGUCAAAUGCCAACUUGACAUUGAUCCCAAUGGUAAAGCGGUGGAUCAAAAGGCAUAUCGCUCCAUGAUUGGCUCCUUGCUUUACCUUUGUGCAUCUAGACCGGAUGUCAUGUUGAGUGUGGGGAUUUGUGCAUGGUUUCAAGCCGCACCUAAGGAAAGACACUUUGUGGCAGUCAGGUGAAUCUUUCGAUAUUUGGCUCAUACUCCAAACUUUGGCUUAUGGUAUCCAAGAGGAUCUAACUUCAACCUUAUGGGCUAUUCGGACUUCGAUUGGGCGGGAGACAAAGUGGAUAGGAAGUCCACUUCUGGAGGGUGCAAAUUUCUUGGUUGCUCUUUGGUGAGUUGGUCUUCCAAGAAACAAAGUUGUGUGUCUCUCUCGUCCACUGAAGUGGAGUAUGUGGCCGCCGGUAGUUUUUGUGCAUAACUUCUAUGGAUGAGGCAAACUUUAAAGGAUUAUGGUGUCAUUUUGUCGGAGUAAUGGGCCACAGGUAGGCCAACCCGAGUCCCAGGACCUUUCAAGACAUCGGGGCAGGCCGCGCCCCUCAGGCCGAGUCCCAGGAGCCGAUUCCAGGACAAGCCGAGUCCCAGACGGCGACUCCAGGAUAAGCCGACUCCAAGCUGGCGACCUCCAUAGAGGCCAACUAUGGGGAGUCGGCCCAUGACUCCUCCCUCAUCUCGAAGCACGAUGCGGGGUACGGUCACGGCGUGGCCGUUCCCUCCUGCCUACGAAGGACCGGCGUGGCUACAGUGAGCCGUAUCGCUGGAAGAUCUCCGGCGAGGCGCGGCACUGUUGCCAUGUCUGCCCUGACCUCAGCCACAGUGCGCAACGCACUGUGCCCACGACGCCAGCCUGUACGACCCGAAGACCGCGGGGCCGCUUGUUAGUGGGUGGACCGAAGGCGGCCUGAGCGCCCGAAGACGGACCUGUGGGAGUCGGCCUCCCUGGAGUCGGCCGAUUCCUGUCCAGGGCCCCACGGGCCAUUAACCAGAUGGGAUGGGGAAUGGCGACAGCGAUCGCCCGAUAGACGGUGGCACUGUUGCCACGACCCAAUGAUCAAGCCUGCGUCAUCAGGAGUGCCGCUACAGUGUCAAGCCUAUCCACGGGACCCGCUAGUCGGCGGGCCCCACAAGCUGGCUGACUUCCUCGUCGACUGGGCCGAGACCCAGUACCUGCCGCCAGCGCCUGACUCCACCCAUUGGCGGAUGCAUUUCGACGGCUCCAAGAUGCGCACCGGCCUGGGAGCCGGCGUCGUCCUCACCUCCCCUAAAGGCGACAAGCUCAAGUAUGUGCUGCAGAUCCACUUCGCCGCCUCCAACAACGUCGCCGAAUAUGAGGCGCUUAUUCAUGGGCUCCGGCUUGCCAAAGAACUCGGCAUUCGCCGGAUCUUGUGCUAUGGCGACUCCGACUUGGUGGUCCAGUAGUCAUCUGGCAACUGGGACGCCAAAGACGCAAAUAUGGAGAGCUACCGCUUCCUAGUGCAGCAACUCAGUGGAUACUUCGAGGGGUGCGAGUUCCUCCACGUGCCAAGGAACGACAACGACCAAGCAGACGCCUUGGCACGAGUCAGCUCCACCCGCCAAGCGAUACCAUUCGGAGUCGCUCUUCAGCGCCUCCUCAAGCCGUCUAUCAAGCUUUCACCAGAGUCAGACUCCAUCUUUGUGCCGGCCCCUCCAGAAGAAGUCGGAUCCGACUCAAGAGCCCCCGCAGACGGCCCCAAGAAAAUCAUAGUUGAAGCCGGCCCGGGGACUUCAAAACCCGGCCCAGGGACUGCGCCAGUCGGCCCGGGGACUGCGCCAGUCGGCCCGGGGACUGUGCCAGUCGGCCCAGGGACUCCGUCAAUCCAGCAAGCGGCCGCAGACUCCAGCCUGCCGCCUCCCAGCCCAGCCACCCUUGUCCAAGUCGCAGUGGUAGCAGUUGAAGAAAUAGCUGCACCCUCAUGGGCGCAGCCCAUCCUCAAGUUUCUAGUGAACAGAGAGCUACCGACCGACGAGAUCCUCGCUCGGCAAGUGCAGCGCCGAGCGGCAGCAUACACCAUAAUCAACAGAGAGCUGGUCAGGUGCAGUGUCACUGGUGUCUACCAGCACUGCGUAGAGCCAGAACAAGGCCAGGCAAUUCUCAGAGACAUUCAUCAGGGCGAGUGCGGCCACCAUGCAGCUUCAAGAGCACUCAUCGCCAAAGCCUUUCGGCACGGCUUCUUCUGGCCGACUGCCCUGGAAGAGGCUAAAGAGUUAGUCCAAAAAUGCAAGGGGUGCCAGAAGUUCCGCUCCAAGCCACUUCAGCCGGCUUCCGCGCUGAAGACAAUCCCCAUCGCCUGGCCCUUUGCAGUUUGGGGCCUGGACAUGGUGGGACCAUUCAAGACGGCCCGAGGCGGCCUAACUCAUCUGCUUGUCGCGGUGGACAAGUUCACCAAGUGGAUAGAAGAAAAGCCCAUCAAGAAGUUGAAUGGUCCGACUGCAGUGACUUUCAUCGCCGACAUCACGGUGCGGUAUGGCAUACCGCACAACAUCAUCACCGACAAUGGCACAAACUUUGCCAAGGGCGCCUUGGCCCGUUUCUGCGCGACGCAGGGCAUCCGACUGGACUUCGCGUCCGUUGCCCAUUCGCAGUCAAACGGCCAGGUGGAGCGAGCAAACGGCCUCAUCCUGUCCGGCAUCAAGCCUCGGCUGGUCGAACCACUCGAGCGUUCGGCCGACUGUUGGGUUGAGGAGCUACCAUCCAUCCUCUGGAGUCUGCGCACGACUCCAAACAAGUCAACCGGCUUCACGCCUUUCUUCCUCGUCUAUGGUGCCGAAGCCGUCAUCCCGACGGACAUAGAGUUCGACUCUCCACGAGUCACCAUGUACACCGAAGAGGAAGCUGAAGAAGCACGCCAAGACGGCGUUGACCUGCUGGAAGAGGGCCGGCUGUUAGCACUCAGCCGGUCCGGCAUCUACCAGCAGAGUCUGCGCCGAUACUACAACCGAAAGGUCAAGCCGAGAUCGUUUCAAGAGGGCGACCUUGUGCUCCGGCUGAUUCAGAGAACAGUCGGCCAGCACAAGUUGUCGGCGCCUUGGGAAGGCCCCUUCAUCAUCAGCAAAGUCCUGGGCAACGGCUUCUACUACCUAAUCGACGCUCAGAAGCCUCGAGCGCGCAAGAGGGACGACUCCGGCAAAGAAACAGAGCGCCCAUGGAAUGCAAAUCUUCUUCGAAGAUUUUACAGUUGAUGCAAUUACUAAGACAGACAAACAAAGGUGGAAAAGGCAGCCUAGGAGGCGGCAUCUGGGAUCGGAGGGUCGGAGGAGAUGGCGGUGUCAGGCGCCGGGGCAGUCGGCUGGGCGGUCUCGGUUUGGUCGCCUCCGGCGGCAGUCGCUUUCUCUCCACGCGGCUCAUUGCUGGAGGUGCGAUCGAGCUGAGGCUGGCCGCCUGCUCCGUCUUCUGGCACCUCUGCCUCGCCUCCGUCCUCCGCCUCGUCCUCCUCCUCGGUGCUGGAGUCGAUCACCUCCACCGAGUCCUCGUCAUACUCCGGGUUCAUCCCAAACCACUCUGGCGGCACUUCCUCGCUGCCUUCAGCCCACUCGGGCACGAAGACACUGGUGUCCGUGUACUCGGCGAUGGCCGCCGCAUGCUCGAUAAGGGCGCCUGUCGGUGUCAAAACUGGCGGAUCUCGGGUAGGGGGUCCCGAACUGUGCGUCUAGGCGGAUGGUAACAGGAGACGAGGGACAUGAUGUUUUACCCAGGUUCGGGCCCUCUUGAUGGAGGUAAAACCCUACGUCCUGCUUAAUUAAUAUUGAUGAUGUCUAUUACAAGAGUGGAUCUACCACGAGAUCAAGGAGGCUAAACCCUAGAAGCUAGCCUAUGGUAUGAUUGUUGUAAUGGAUGUUGUGUCCUACGGACUAAAACCCUCCGGUUUAUAUAGACACUGGAGAGGGCUACGGUUACACAGAGUCGGUUACAAUGGUAGGAGAUCUACAUAUCCGUAUCGCCAAGCUUGCCUUCCACGCCAAGGAAAGUCCCAUCCGGACACGGGACGGAGUCUUCAAUCUUGUAUCUUCAUAGUCUUGGAGUCCGGCGGACGAUGACAGUCCGGCUGUCCGGACACCCCCUAGUCCAGGACUCCCUCAGUAGCCCCUGAACCUGGCUUCAAUGACGAUAAGUCCGGCGCGCAUAAUGUUCGGCAUUGCAAGACGGGUUCCUCCUUUGAAUAAUCCAUAGAAGAUUGUGAACACCAGGAUAGUGUCCGGCUCUGCAAAAUAAAUUCCACGUUCCACCGUAGAGAGAAUAAUAUAUACACAAGUUCAAUCUGCUGACGUAUCUUGUAACAUGACGUCACGCCACUACCAAGCCUUUACUUGAAUUGUUUUUUAUUAUACCACCUCAGCGCGUUUAGCGAAGCGGUUUACUUGGCACGUCUUGUCGAAGCAGAGAUCGUGUUCCCCUUAUUCCGGGAUUCUCAUCAAUAUGGACGUGGGUAACCCAACCGCGCCCGUCGCCACGCCCCCUCUAUCGAAGGCGAGUCCCGAACGGUCACAGAGACGGCUCUCGGUAUUCUCCCUCUUUAUAACAGGACCAAGGCUCGUUCCUUUUCUUCAAUCCUCCAUCGAAUCUUCUCCUCACUCCAAGUUCCAACACCUAGAGUCCCAGAUUCGUGUGCUUCGGACCUUCAACAAUGUCCGGUUCCGACCUUCAGGGCCGAUGGAUGCCCUCCUCCGUCACGGAGGAGGACGUGCUAAAGCUGCGAGAGGCCAAGUACCUGUCUUAUGAGAUUUCACACAGGCUGCCCGCCGAAGGGCAGGCCAUACCCACCCCCGAGCCCGGUGAGUAUGUCGUCUUUGUAUUCCACCUCCGUCGGGGUUUAGGCUUCUCAACGGAUCCUUUCAUGAGAGGGCUCAUGUUCUACUACGGGCUGGAUUUCCAUGACUUGGCUCCGGAGUCCAUCCUCCAUAUUUCCGCAUUUAUUGUCGUCUGCGAAGCCUUCCUCCGCGUAACCCCCCACUUUGGCAUGUGGCUGAAGACCUUCAAUGUGGAGCGGAAGAUGAUUGGGGGGCGUCAAGAAGAGUGCGGCGGGGCGGCCAUAAGCAGGAGGGCCAAUGCCCCGUGGCCUGAGGGCUCCUUCCAAGGGGAGCUCGGCUUGUGGCAGCAGGAGUGAUUCUAUAUCACCGCUCCGAAGGGCAGCAGGCAGAAGCCGCCGCCCAUAUUCCGCCCGGGACCUCCUCGACGGUUGAUGUCGUGGGUCAACCAAGGGCUCAACUGGGGGCCGUCAAAAGACGUGCCCCUAUUGCAGGGCCGGAUUCGAGACCUCCAGGCGAGGGAGAUCGAUCUGGUCGUGGUGAUGCAGGUUAUGCUGAUUAGGCGUCUCCUGCCCUGCAAACGCCAUCCUCUCCGGCUAUGGGAGUUUAAUCCGGAGGGACCACGGAUUCUCCAACACUUUAUGGGUAUGACACCCGUGGAGAUGUACAAGUUGUUCUUCGAACCGCAGGUGGCGUGUCCAGAAUUGACCGAGGAUGCAGGCCUAAGCUGCAAUCGCCCGGAUACUCAGGUAAGUAGCCCAGUGUUCGGACGUACCAUUUGUUUGCUUUUCUACAAUUCGCCUUUUAACCCGUUAUCCUGCAACAGGAGUGGAUAGCGGAAGCAAAGCUGAUACGGUGUCCGGCCCCCCUCCCAGAGACCGCGCCGGAUCUCGUGCUGGUCAGGAUGUUGGAGGUUGCGCCUUCAGAAGAAGGCGAAGGGGAAAAUAGAGGAGCUACCGCCUCGCCCAAGGGGGCGAUUGAAGAAGGGGGGAUCGAGAAUCCCUCCCCCCAGGGGGAGAAGAGGACCGCCUCCGAAGACCCGGAGGCCAAAGCCCCUAAGUGGGGGAAGAAAUCUUCACCAGAGGGUCCUGCGUCCGGGAAGGUCCCGGCCGCACAGUCUUCUCUAAAGAAUCAGCCCUCCAGCGAGCCGUGAGUGGAAAAAAGGGGGAGUUCAUUAAUAAGAAACAUCCCUAUUUGUGCUUCUGAGGAUAACCGAAAUUUUUACCUUGUAGUUCGGAUCUGCGACCUUCUCAGAUGAGCUCGUCUUCGGGGGAUCUUCGUCCGGAGAUGAUGGAGAGCGAGACGCCUCCGUCUGCUGCGCCAUCGGAUAGGGCGGACGAGCCUGAAGUGUCGUCACGGAGGGUAUCCCCGAGCCCGGCAGAGCCGAAGAGUUCGGCACCGACUAGUGUUCGGCCGGGGGAGCUGAAGGUUCUGCUUGAGAGGGCGUCCAUCUCAGAAGACCACCGUGCAUUGAUGAGUACGGUGAUUAGAAGGAUUUCGUCCGCCGAAAGCGGAUUGCAUAAUGCCUUCAGGAGUUUGCUGGCGGGAUUUGAGGUAUUUAAAAAUGACACCCCUUUUUGACAGGUUUACACAUAAAGUGCGCCCUGUACAGAUAGUAGCCCCUGAGACUCGGUAGGUUGUCGAAAGCGACAGCGUGCCGAGGAUCAAAAUCGCAGGUAUUGAGUGUCGCCUUUCCUAUGCAGGUGGCGGAUAGUCCGGGGGCUAGCCGGACUGAUGGAGUUGCUGAAUUAAUGCGGCAACUCGAUGUUGCGGAUGCAGACAUCGUGCUAGUCAACAAGCGACUUGACGAGUCGCAAGGUAAAUUGAUUCUCCGCAGUCACCUAUUAAGGGAGCUAAAGCCCACCUCUUACAAUAUUUAUGCUUGACGCAGAUGGUGCUGCUGCUGUGGAGAGCCUUCGGGCAGAACUUGCUCAAGCCAAGGAGCAAGCCAGAAGGAGUGAUGCGGCUGCCUCGAGGGCGGCCGAGGAGUUAGAAGCCGAAAGGGCUGCACACUGCCGAAGCAGGGAAGAGAUGGCCGAAUUGGCCGUUAAAUUGAAGGAUGCUACCGACCGCAAUGAGGCUCUUGAAAAGGAGCGCCUAUCGGAGCGAGAAGACCAGGGGAAGGCCACCGCUGAAGCCAAGGAUGCCCGUUCUGCAAUGCGGGCUAUGAAGGAGGAGCUGCGUCAGGCCGGAGACAUUGUGGCUGGCAAGCCUUUUCUGCUACGCCGCAGGUUUACAGAUCCAAAGUAUGCCCAGCUUGGCCAGCUGUGGGGUCCGGAGAAUCCAUAUAUGGACUUAGCGGCGAGUGCGGCGGAUGCCGUUGUGCACUUCCGAAGUCAGAAGGAUCACAAGACGGAAGAGCUAUUUUGGUCUCAAUUCCAUAGUCCGGAUCGUUCACUUCCGCUGACCGAUCGGUUGGCCGAAUGGGCUGAGCUGAAUAGGUUGUGCGGACUUUCCAUGACGGAUAUCGUGACUCAUGUCUGGCCGGAGAGGCCCAAGCCGACGAGCUAUUUUGGCUUAUUGCAGGAGUUUCUUGGGGCGGUGCCGCAUAUCAAGGAGAUGAAGCGGUCGGCCUGCAUAGAGGGUGCGCGGAUGGCCCUUGCCCGUGUGAAGACACAUUGGACAGAGAUGGAUGCCACCGCUGUUGCAACCCAGGGUUCGGAAGAAAGCCGGUUACCCGCCGAGCACUAUUUUGGGGAAGUUAUGCAUGGUCCUCGUGUAAUAGAGUCGCAGUGCUCGAAAAAUGUCAUGUUCAAAUGAAUGUUUUAUUUUGUAAAACAAUGGUUAUGAUGUAAUCGCUUUUUAUACUUGUGCGUUCCAAGUAUUGAAAUAUCUCCUAUGCGGCCGUUUAUGUAUAUGUGUGUAUAACCUGAAAGAUGGCAGUCUUCGGCUUCAGCCCCCACGCACAAGGUGCGGGGGUGUUCGCAAAAAUAGCGCAUUUUCACACUUAAUCCGACGUCUCGGUCCUAUUGAGGAGGUGGUAGCGUAGCAAACGAGGCAACCGGACUAUGAUGCUUUAUCACUUUCACUUAGCCAUUGGAGUUCGAGGGUGGGGCUACGAUAUAGCCCCUGGGGGCACCGCGCUCUCCGAAUUCGGGGCGCGUGUGUGCCUGACCGGGAAACGGUCCUUCGUCAAAGCGGAGGAAUUCUAAACAUUCCGGUGGUCGAUCGAGUGGUUGACCAGUCUCUCGCUGUAUCAUGACAGUCAGUUUUUGGCUUUCUCUACUGAGGUGCUCGCCCAGCCGAACUGGGGAACAAUCGCAGUAGUUCUCCUGGUGCCGCGUUAGCCGAUGAUACGGAACGUAAGGCAGCAAAACACAGGAGCCGGGCAAACCCAACAUUUGACCAAAGACAUGAUUCGGAGCUGAUGCAUAUAAGGCCUAACUCGAGACGCCGAACACUCCCUAAGGUGUUCGGUCUUUUAUAAUAACGGGCGAAACAAUGCCCUAAGCCCCUUGUGUCCAGGUACGGGCGAGGUCCUCUGACGCGGCCGAUGCCAAAAUGUCAGUAUCCUCUCUAGUUAUCAUGGAAAAACCAGGGGAUUAUAGCAACAAGAGACAGUAAAAAAGGUUUACGCAGGGUCUUAAUCUGAAAAGAAUCCUAGCAACAGGUCCCUACUGCACGUCUGUGCCUGUGUCUCCGUUGUGCCGUUAUCCUGGACGGGUGUGCACGGUGUUCAUCUGUAAAAAGAGAGGAACUUAGUUUGAAAGGAAAUCGUGCGAAAAAGUGUAUGAAAAAUAUCAAUAAAUAAAUAAAGAGGAGUCUAUAUUAGCUCAUUAUUGCUUAUACGCACAGCCCCUUGUGAAGGGGUGCGCGACUAGGGAGCCCCUAGCUUAUUUAUGCCGGACUCGUCUAGCCGUGUUCGGGGUCUUUAGAUGACCCUCUUAAUGAAAUGAUGCCACGUGGACCGGGCAUUUUAAGUGUAAGAGACGCGUAAUGUGGUAUUGUGUUAAAGCGGACAAAAGCUUCGCGUCCCAGUAGUGCUUGAUAGCUACUUUCAAAUGGGGCGACAUGGAAGAUUAGCUUUUCGCGUCGGAAGUUGUCCGGUGACCCGAACACAACUUCUAGUAAUAAGGAGCCUAUGCACUUGGCGUAAGGGCCUGGCGUCACUCCUUUAAAGGAAGUGCGGCUAUGUCGAAUUUUAGUAAGGUCUAUCCCCAACUUGCGGAUUGUGUUUGGAUAUAGCAGGUUUAAAUCGUUGUCGCCGUCCAUCAGGACUUGUGUAAAUUGUAGUCCGUUGAUUGUAGGAUCCAAUAUCAGAGCAGUCCAUCCUGCAUUUCGAACACUUCUGGAAUAAUCCAGGUGGUCAAAAGUGAUUGGUUUUGACAUCCAAUCUCGGGGUUCCGCUGGGGUGGACCGUGCGAGACCCAUCUUAGCGGGUGUCGCAUUGUUAUUCCGUAUUAUCACAUGAAGUGAGUUUACUGCUUUGACUUCUUGUGGGAAAGUCUUUUGUUUUCCGGUGCCCUGCUGGUGGGGUUCGUCGUCGUCCUCGCUUGGUGCGUCAAGCCCCUUGUGUUCGGUGUUGAGUCGGCCGGACUGUUUGAAAACCCAACAAUCUCGAUGGGUGUGGUUUGCAGGCCUUCCGGAGGUACUAUGGAUUUGACAUAUCCGAUCCAAAAUUUUGUUUAAGUUGGAUAGCUCGUCACUGCUGUCCUUAAGAGGCAGUGUUUUGUUGUUUGGCCGCGAGCUUUUGAAUCCAGCGUUGACCGCCGUGUUCUUUGGGCUUUUCUCUUUAUUCCGGCGUUGAUCUUUUCUGCGCCGUGAUUUUCCAUUUCCAUCUCUGAUCUCGGAUGUACUUGGGUCGCUAGUGCUGCAUCUUGCUAGCCAGCUAUCUUCCCCCGCGCAAAAGCGGGUCAUGAGGCUUGUUAGCACGGACAUUGUCCUCGGCUUCUCUUGGCCGAGGUGUCUGGCAAGCCAUUCAUCUCGGACGUUGUGUUUAAAAGCUGCUAAGGCUUCGGCAUCCAGACAGUCGACUAUUUGGUUCUUUUUAGUAAGGAACCUGUUCUAGAAUUUGCGCGCUGACUCUCCGGGCUGUUGAGUUAUAUGACUUAGAUCGUCUGCAUCCGGAGGGUGGACAUAAGUCCCUUGAAAAUUUGCUCUGAACGCGUCCUCAAGCUCUUCCCAACUUCCAACAGUGUUUUCUGGGAGGCUUUUGAGCCAAUGCCGAGCUGGCCCUUUGAGCUUGAGGGGUAGGUAUUUUAUGGCGUGGAGGUCAUCUCCUCUAGCCAUGUGCAUGUGUAGUAUAUAAUCCUCUAUCCAGACUCCAAGGUCUGUUGUUCUGUCGUAAGCCUCUAUGUUUAUGGGUUUAAACCCUGCUGGGAAUUCAUGAUCCAGCACCUCAUUGGUGAAACAUAGUGGGUGUGGGGCGCCCCUGUAUUUGGGUGUGCCGCUGUCUUCGAACACUUGGCGUGUUGUGUUGCUUCCUGGGGGCCCUCUUUUUUGGCAUGUAAAUGGACCUGGCUGGGCCAUCUGUUUUCCCAGGGUCAUGAGUCAGCUUGUGUGCGGUGCCGCUUGUAGAUUUUGGCCUAUCCUCUGGCCGUCUAUCCGGCCAGGCAGCCUCUUUGUUUUUUGACUGUGGAGGCUCUAUGGCUUCCUCGUCAAAUUCUGGAAGCAGCUUGCGCUUCGGGUAGCUCUUUGAUUGAUGGCCAUUGUCGUAUUUGUCUGCGGUUUUGAGCACUUUGCUCCACCUCAUUCUGAGUAUGUCUUCCGCUGUUUUGAGCUUCCGUUUUUCCUUCUUCAAACUUCUUGCAGUGGCGACGAGUCUUUUCCGAAGGCUCUUAUUCUUCGGUGGUGUGUCUGGCGUGAGGUCGUCUGGACUAUUGGUUUCGCCGGGCAUGGAUUGAUUAUCCGACUUGUCCUGUUCGGACGGUUGCUUGGCUCCAUGUUCGUCGUCCACUGGUUUGCUCUGCUCUAUUGCUGGGUCAUUAGGAGCGUUGUUGUUGUCGAGGUAGGACUUAGGGCGGCGUCUACGUCGCCGUUUUGGUUGUUUAUCGGCGGGAUUAUCCUUUGCCGCACCCCGUUGGUCCUUGUUAUCGCUUCCUUUUGGGGUAUCCACCAUAUUUACAUCAUGGGUUGGGGUGACCUUCCAGUGCUCUGUGAGCGCUGGUUCUUGAUCGUCUCCGGCAUCGUCGUCCAUACCGUCGAUGUCUUCGGAGUCGUAGUCUAGCAUGUCGGUUAGAUCGUCGACAGUGGCUACAAAGUGGGUGGUGGGUGGGCUUUGAAUUUCUUCAUCGUCCGCAUCCCAACCAUCCUGGCCAUAAUCCGGCCAGGGCUCUCCGGAUAGCGAGAGAUGUUUUAGCGAAUUUAAGAUGUCGCCAAAGGGUGAGUGCUGAAAGAUGUCAGUAGCGGUGAACUCCAUGAUCGGCGCCCAAUCGGAUUCGAUUGGCAGGGGCGCAGGAGGUCCAGAGUCCGGCAGUGAGUCCGGCACCUCGGAGUCACGAGCUUUAUAGGGAACAAGGUCAGUGUUUGGCUCCAUCGCCGUGGAAGUCGCGGCUCCUGAGGAGGUGUCCAACCAUCCGUCCUCGAUCUGCGCGAUCGGCUCCAGACUAUGGGUUGGAGCGGAUUCGUGUGCGGCCUCCAAGGUGUUGUCCGGCGACAGAGUUAGAUCAUGCCCAUCGUGACAGUGCGGCACGCUCGGUUGCGGAUCGGAUCCAUCGAAGAUCAAGUCUCCGCGGAUGUCCGCCGUGAAGUUUAGGCUUCCAAAUCUGACCUGACGGCCAGGGGCGUAGCUUUCGAUCUGCUCCAGAUGGCCAAGUGAAUUAGCCCGCAGAGCAAAGCCGCCGAAUUCAAAGAUCUGUCCGGGUAGAAAAGUCUCACCCUGGACAGCGUUGUUGUUGAUUGAAGAAGCCAUCGAGCCUAUCGGGGACGACACAGAGGAACUCUCAAUGAAAGCACCAAUGUCGGUGUCCAAACCGGCGGAUCUCGGGUAGGGGGUCCCGAACUGUGCGUCUAGGCGGAUGGUAACAGGAGACGAGGGACAUGAUGUUUUACCCAGGUUCGGGCCCUCUUGAUGGAGGUAAAACCCUACGUCCUGCUUGAUUAAUAUUGAUGAUGUGUAUUACAAGAGUGGAUCUACCACGAGAUCAAGGAGGCUAAACCCUAGAAGCUAGCCUAUGGUAUGAUUGUUGUAAUGGAUGUUGUGUCCUACGGACUAAAACCCUCCGGUUUAUAUAGACACCGGAGAGGGCUAGGGUUACACAGAGUCGGUUACAAUGGUAGGAGAUCUACAUAUCCGUAUCGCCAAGCUUGCCUUCCACGCCAAGGAAAGUCCCAUCCGGACACGGGACGGAGUCUUCAAUCUUGUAUCUUCGUAGUCUUGGAGUCCGGCGGACGAUGACAGUCCGGCUGUCCGGACACCCCCUAGUCCGGGACUCCCUCAACGCCCUCCACGGCCUCCAGCUCGGCCUGGGCUUCUGACCGGAACGCGGCCAGACGGUCCAGGUCCAUCCCUGGAUACCACGCCUUGACGAACUCCAAGGCCCGGCGUGCUCCGGCCCGGGCCGAGGAGCCCUUCCAAGCCUCAAGACGGCCGGCGGUGACUUCCAGCCAGUCGGCGGUCCGACUGGCGGUGCGCAGAGCCGGCAUGUCUGGCCACAGGGUGGCAACCGCCUGGGCACCAGCACGUUGAAGCCGGCGCAACAGCCGGUGAGCCGGACGAAGACGGGCUUCGAUGCUUAGAAGCUCCUCAUCGAUGGUUCGGGGGGCGUUAGCGGCGAUCUCCUCACCACUUGCCCUUCGCGCCUCUCGAGCAGCCUCGAUGGCCAAAGGGACUGCCUGCGAGUGACCAGGGAAGAAGUCUGCCAAGACAAAAAAGAAGCAAGUCGAAAAAUCAGAAGUCGGCCUAACGCAUAGUCGGAAGCCCGAAGAAACGAAAGAAACUUACCAUCAACGAUAUCCUCGAUCUCGUGGAAGCCGAAGGUCAGCAUCGCCUCCUUGUCAGUCCAGGAGGAGCGCUCGCUCUCAAACUCGGCCAGGAGAGCGGUCUCCCUCUUCUCGGCCUCGUCCUGCGCCUUCUUGAGCAGCUCCUUCUGCUCGGCCAGCUGCGCCGCCAGCAGGUCGCGCUCCGUGGCAAGCCUGCCACACUCCUCCUCCUUGGCAUGCCGGCGGUAUUGGCCUCGCCUAGCUGCUCCUGAAGAGCGGCGUUGGCGCCUGAAGAACGAAAGAAGAGACAAAUAAGUCGUCAGCAAAGUAGAUCGUCGGGAAGAUCCGGCCCGACUGCUCAGCAAUCGGCCCGAAUCUCGGGGACUACAGCCCGCGGGUGCGCCAGCGCGCCCCCGCAAUGAAAAGGAAAAAGAGCUUACUCUGGCUUUCCGUCAAGUCGGCGGUCCGCUUGUUCAACUCCUCAACAUUGCGGUUGAAGGCAGUGGCGCGGAGGUUAUGAUACUCCUGCAAUAAGUCAAUGGAGACAAAGUUAGUAUUUGGAACUCGCCAGAGGGAGUUCCGAACCGCCUGCUCAGCAGCCGGCCCGGAACUCGGGGACUACACCCAGUGGGUGCGCUGGCGCGCCCCCACAGAGAAAAACAAGGAUCAAAAAGAAGAGGGAAACGUACUCGGACGGAUGUCCGCGCGGCCAGAUGCGCCCUAGUGCAAGCUUGAAGGGUGUCGCCUUCAGCGCGCAGCUUUGCCUGAACGUCCAGGAGCGCUUGGUUCAGCGGCCCGGUGCCGCCUCCGCGCAACCAUCCGGUGGGCGCGGCGCUUGUGGCCUUGGCAUCUAGGGUUGCCGAGCUGGCAGCGCCAGUCUCCCAAGGUCGCGGCGCCGAGGUCGCCCUCUCAAGACGGCGGCGCACCGGCGAGGCGACUUGAAGAAGCAGCCGCGCCUCGGCCUCGUCCGUGAUCGGCGGCUCCGACUGACCCACCGGCUGUUUGCCGUGCGGUCUCCCAGAUGGCGGCGGACGCAGCGGUGGCGGCACGAGAGUGCCCGACAUAGCAGCCUCGCCGCUCUCCUUCUCCACGAGGGGGUUCUCGGUGCCGGCCUCUCCGGUCUGCCCCGUGAACUCCGGAGGCGGCGGCGCAGACAACAAUGAAGGGACGAGCAUCGCCGAUCAGCGACGCGCGGCCUCCUCGGCACGCCGUUUCGCUGCAAGGGCGGCUUCGGCAUCCUCCAGCUUCUUCUAGGCAUUGGCAUCCGCCUUCUUGGCAUGCGCCUUCUCCAGGCGGUCGGCCUCCUCCUCGUCGCGCUUCUCCCGCGCAUUUCGCUCCGUUGCCUCCCGGAGGUCGGCGGCGGGAUCGGCCCGCCGAGUAUUGGCGGACGUAUCUGCCGACCCCAUGACGGAGGGGACGGCGACUCUCUCAAGGGAAAGAGGGGCCCUGAAGAAGAACAGAGGGAGAAUAAAAGAAGACUCGGACAAGAUUCAACAAAGGAAAAUAAAGAGCAUAAAGACUUACGCAGAGACUAGCGGCGGCCUUCUCACUUCCCUUCGGAAGCGGUUGGUCUUCGCGGCCGCCUCCUCCCGCUUGGUCGCGGCGGCCGCCCUCUUGAGCUUCUUCAAUUUGCCGCCGGAUGCACUCGGCCCGGCGUGACACCUCUUCGCGCCGCCUUGGCCAGACAGGCCGGCGGAGGGGCUGACGCCCGACAAGCCGGCCCUCGGCUGGUGGCGCAGGGCGACUUCCCCGUCGGCGUCGACGUCAGGCUAGUCGGCGAAGGUGGCCGAGGGCCUGAAGACGCCCUCUGUUCCUUCUCCCCCGCCUUCGGCGUAGGCUUCCAUCGCCGCCGCCCCCAAGUCGGGGUCGUCGACGUUGCUGUCCGCACGAUCGGGAACAUACUCGCGGGGCUGUCUCGUGGCGCCGGCUGCAGGCUGCAUGAGGGGGUUCUAGCUCAGAAGAAACCGACAAGAGUCAGAAGCCGGAGUCGGCCGCAAAGAAGACAAAACAAUAGGGGGACGCGACUUACCACUGGUGGGGGGUUGUCGCGCGAGUACGGCUCCUUGCCGAACUGCCAGUCCUCCUCGAACUCGCAGUGCGCGAUAUGGUUCACCAAGUUCGCCACCUCCUUGCGGGGCAUCUCCUUGGUGCUCAUCCGACUUGGGUCUCGGAGGCCGCUCAUAUGACAGAUCAGGUGAGGCCGGCCUUGGAGCGGGAGAACUCGGCACGCCACGAAGACGGCCAGCAAGUCGGCCCCGACGAGACCCUCCGACUGCGUCAAGACUCGGAGUCGCGCUGCGGUGGCGGCUCUGGUGGGAGUCAGCGUCUUGACUCGGUGAGACCAGCUGGGGAGCCUCCCAGUUAGGGGGGCGGCGUUGUACGGCAGCAGGUUGACCCACUCGCCGUCGGAGGAGAGGUUCUUCACGUAGAAAUAUGAGCGCUGCCACAUCUUCACCGAUUUGAUCAGCGCGAUGGGAGGAAAUGGGUUGUCGGCUGUUGAGCGCCGCACCGCGAUGUAGGUGCCGCACUGAGCCGGUAUGCCGGCGACUUGCGUGCCGAGCUUAGAAGAGAAGAAUUCUCCCCACAGUUCGAGGGUGGGGAGAACACCGAGGAAACCUUCACACAGAGUGGCGAAGGCGCAGAGCAACACCAUCGUAUUCGGAGUGAGGUGGUGCGGUUGAAGGCUGUGGAACUCCAAGAACGAGCGGAAGAAGCCGCUCGCCGGCAGCCCCAGGCCGCGCAUGAGGUGCGAGCGGAAGAUGACCCGCUCGCCCUCCUCCGGCGCCGGUCGGGUCUCCCCCUCCGGCGCGGGGCGGGCGCGCACGAGGUCCACGCUGGGGAGACGGCGUGUCUGGCGGAGGAACUCUAUGUGUUCCUCUUCCACCUUCGAGCUGUCCCACACGCCGGAGCGCACGGCGGGGGCCGCGGCGGAGGAAGAGCUCAUCGCCGUGGUGUGGAGUGCUCUCACUCAAUGGUGGAGGCAGGAGGGAUAGAAGGCAAGAUGAGGCGGGGGAAUGGGGGAGAAGGGUGCGCGUGCGGUGCCGCCCCGCUCCCCCCCGCCUACUUAUAGCCCUAUGGGCUGAGAAGCCGAGGGGGCGGGCAUGGGAUUAACUGCGCACGAUGCCCCACGCCGCCCCAUGAUUUACCCCAUGAAGUUACUGCGCGCAGUAACAACAUGGGGAAACCAACCGUCCACGGCCGCAACGGAUCCGUUCAUAUCCCGAGGCACGGUAGUGGCGGACCCCGCCUGACAGCCCGUCCCGUCACGCGCAUGGGCAGGCAGACUGUCCUCUCCACGUGGCGCCACGCGAUAGGACUGCCUCGAUGGCAGCAGGGAAGCGUAUCAGGCAUGCCGCCUGGUUUCCCGCCGCGACUUUCAAGAUGCGGCUCCUCGCUAGAAAAAAUCAGACUCUCGACAGUCGGCCCAAGAGAAGACGGUAGCCAAGUUCCAGAGUCCGCUCCAGGGAGGUUGAAGCUGUUGAAGCCCCACCAUGCAGCGUCCGCGGGGCUUCACCAGCUUCGGGGACUACUGUCGGAGUAAUGGGCCACGGGUAGGCCAACCCGAGUCCCAGGACCUUUCAAGACAUCGGGGCAGGCCGCGCCCCUCAGGCCGAGUCCCAGGAGCCGAUUCCAAGACAAGCCGAGUCCCAGACAACGACUCCGGGAUAAGCCGACUCCAAGCUGGCGACCUCCAUAGAGGCCAACUAUGGGGAGUCGGCCCAUGACUCCUCCCUCAUCUCGAAGCACGAUGCGGGGUACGGUCACGGCGUGGCCGUUGCCCCCUACCUAUGAACGACCGGCGUGGCUACAGUGAGCCGUAUCGCUGGAAGAUCUCCGGCGAGGCGCGGCACUGUUGCCAUGCCUGCCCUGACCUCAGCCAUAGUGCCCAACGCACUGUGCCCACGACGCCGGCCUGUACGACCCGAAGACCACGGGGCCACUUGUUAUUGGGUGGACCGAAGGCGGCCUGAGCGCCCGAAGACAGACCUGUGGGAGUCGGCCUCCCUAGAGUCGGCCGAUUCCUCUCCAGGGCCCCACGGGCCAUUAACCAGAUGGGAUGGGGAAUGGCGACAACGAUCGCCCGAUAGACGGCGGCACUGUUGACAUGACCCAAUGACCAAGCUUGCGUCAUCAGGAGUGCCGCUACAGUGUCAAGCCUGUCCGCGGGACCCGCCAGUCGGCGGGCCCCAGAAGCUGGCGGGAAGGACAGAGGUCUGAGAGACAGAUGGCUGGGACCCGCGCCCAGCCGGAUUACCAUUGUACCCCCGGGGGGUAGGCCUAUAUAAACCCCCCGAGGCACCCAUGCAAAGGGUUCGGACCUUGAUAGAGAUAGACCAGAUUGCAUAGGGAGGAGAGAACUAGCCUUGCCCUCUCCUGCCUCCCGAUACAGCUCUAGGAGCACCAUUGUAGUCACUUUGCCUUAGUGAUCAUGCGGAGACCCCGCAGAGCAGUAGUAGGGGUGUUAUCUCCUCGGAGAGCCCUGAAGCUGGGUAAGAUUCGCCGGCGUGCAUGUCUUCGCCUCAUCCCGUUUCCAGGCACCGGCGAUGUUCUACUCGCCCCCACCAUGAUAAGCCAUCCUUUGGCAUAUGUCGCACCCAACCCCCGACACAUUUGUGACAAAGUGCCUCUUUGGUGUGAUAAUGAAGGUGCCAUCAAGAUUUCUCUCAACCCCGUGCAACACUUCAAGACGAAUUAUAUUGAGAUUCGGUAUCACUUCAUCCAGGAUCACAUUAGGCGAGGGGAGAUCGAGCUCAACUAUGUCAACACUCAUGAUAACCUUGCAGAUAUUUUCACAAAGCCCUUAGAUGAAGCACGAUUUCGUGUGUUAAGGCAUGAGCUAAAUAUCAUUGAUUCGAGAAAUAUUGCUUGAACCCUUGCACACCUCACCAUACUCAACUUGUUAUCUUGUUUAGGUGUAGGCAUGGAAAUAGGGGGAGUGUUGUUUUCUCAAUGAACUCUCCCUCCCCUCAUUAUGCAUAAAUUUGAUCAACUCUUUCACAUUAGCCAUUGUUGAUGGUACUUGUGCUUCAAAGACGAGUUUUGGUCAUGGGCCCAAGGAUAAUUCUUCACGAUGCCAUACCAAUUGACUCUAACAUAGGUUGCUCCGGCCACCGCCCUCUCUUUGGGGAGUUGUGUUGCGUGUUUAGUCUAUGUAGUCCCUUGCCUUUCUUUCUUCGUGUCGAGCCUGCGUGUGUUGUCUUAGCUCUUUAGUGUGUUUGCUCUCUUGUAGGUUGCAUUGCAAAGGCCACUUUCUUCUCUGUUUUUGAAACUUGCAUUUUCUUGGGUCCACGGUACUACAUUGGCUCGCCACGGUACUACCACAGGAGCUGCGCACGGUACUACCGCACCCAGCACGGCAGUAAUUUUUUACUGCCGCUAGAGGAGUGGUACUUCCGCCGGGGCAGUACUACCGCGAUGACACGCGGUACUACCGCGCUGACGCGAGCGCGUGGGGGUUAAGAGCGGGCAGGGGGAGUUCUAACUCCCCCAUACCCAUUCAACUCUUUUUCCCAAUGCAGUCUCUCUCUCUCUCUCCUGCCCAAGAACGGCACCAAAGAACCUCGUCGCAUCUCCGUCUUCGGCCGCUCUCCUUGCAUUCCGUCCGGUGGGAUCGUUCCCCACCACUCCCUCUUGCCAUGGAACAAGGUUUUCCCCAAAUACCUCUCUCUUUGGUUCGUUCUUUUGUUUCUAGGUUUUGGGGAGAUGCAUGUUGUUCUUGAGAUUUUAGGCCAAAUCUUUGCAAGAGCAGGAUGUGGGAGAGUAGUAAUGCGUAGAGAUGGUACUUGGUAUGUUUCCCCGUGGUAGAUUUGAUCAACCGUAGUACCGCUCUGUUGUCACAGUUGUGCUCAGAUCCGCUGGUGGUUCAGAUCUGACACCGUGCGGUACUACAGCGCCCCCCAUGCGGUACUACCGCCCGAGGCGCGGCACUAAAAUUUUAUUUCCGUUCCAAGGCGCGGUACUACAGUGCCAUCCUAGCGCGGUACUACCGUGGCUAGGAGCAGCACUAAAAUUUUAGUUCCACGCAUCCAUGCAGUACUACUGUUGUUGUCAAAUCUCCCACGUGGCAAUUACCCAAUGCUAGUUCUACUUAUUUCACCUGCUUGAUGUGGUCUUUGCAUUGACCUUCCUCGCUUCUCUUGCGUGUGUUUGUGUUUCGUGUCAUAGGUGGUGGCUCCGGUCCUCAACGUCGUUCAAAUCCCAGCCGUGACACUGGCUCCAAACGUCUGCACAACCAAGAUGAAGCUCCAGAGGGCUCCAAUGCCCCUCACCGCAGAACCAAGACCACCGCCACCAAGGACAAGGAGCCCUCCAUGGGCAUGGAUGAGAUACCACUUGCUGAGUAUGUUACUCGAAGGAAGAUCAACCCCUAUGUGAAUCCUCGUGCCAAAUUCAGAGGGAAUGAUCUGUUCUGGACCAAGCAGUAGAAUCUCAUUUAUUUGGAUGUGAUCAAGGCCAAGCAGAACAUCUAUGUUGAUGUGCACUGGAUUGACAUGAAUCACAUGAGGGAGGACAAACAUCGUGCCUAUUUUGGUGAGGCUUUGGACCUGGUGGAGCAGUUUGCCAUUGAGGAUGUGAUCUCUUUCCACCUGGACUUUGACCCUGAGAUUGUGGACCAGUUCUUUGCCUCGGUCCACUUCAAUUCUAAUACGGAACGGUCCAUGACCUGGAUGACCAAUGGACAAUGGAUGACUGCUAAGUGGAAGGACUCCAUGAAUCUACUUCAGGUGCCUGAUGAGGGGCUCGACACGCCCGUUGGUGUUUGCCCUUAUGCCAACCCUGAGUCUGCUAACAAGAACAAGCUCCAGCCAUUCCUUGUUGAGAAGAGCCUUCCCAGUGACAAGAAGAUGUGGGUGUUGAACUCGUUCCUUGACAUCAUGCACCGUAUCUUCUGCAACACUCUCUUUCCUCACAUUGGUGACAAGGACAAGGUGCAUGCCUAUCUUGUGGAUAUGAUGCUCAUUUGUGAGGAGGCACGUCACUCUCAGACUCAACCACUUGAUGUCUCACACAUCAUGUGGUGCGAUCUUCGGUUUGCGGUAUUCAACCGUAAGGUGCCCAUCUAUGGACCUUACCUAUUUCUCUUGAUCACGGGGACUUGGGAGAAGCUCUAUCCCCAGGAUGAGUUUGUUGCCCCUGACUGGAUCCGUCACGACCCCGUCAAGCUCCGCAUCAAGCCUCAGUGGGCUAACACCACCGCUCGUGCUGAGGCAAAGGCUGCUAGAAUGAAUGUUGAUGAGGAUGAGAUUGAGAAGGAGGAAGCGGAUGAGGACAGUUCUUCUGGGUAUGCUCCUCCCUCUAUUGAGCCCUCAUGGUCUAAGAAGCUAAAGGCCAAGAUGAAGGCAUUGUUCUGCAUGCAAGCCAAGGGGCAGUACAAGACUCAUAUUGCUUCCAAGGAGAGUCGCCGCCGUGACAAGAGGAUCUUGAGGACCUUUGGAGAGCACGUCACCAGCGGUUCCGAGGAGCUCAUCACCCUAGAGGCUGAAUGGAUGGCGAACCAGGGUUACAAGUGGACAGAUUUUGUGGAGGAGACCAUGCCCGCUGCUGAGUCCGAUGAGGAGCAUGGCGAGUGAUCACUUCAGCUCAAGCCACCACUUGUGUCGUAGGUGUCCUCUCGGCCUUUUUGGUGUCUCGAUGCCAAAGGGGGGGAGAGUGUAGGGAUUUGCGAGUCGUGUGUCGUGUUUUCGUCUUGUCACUUUGUUUUCUUUCCGUUGGACUUCGUUUGCUUUGGUUUGGUUUGUUCUUGUGAGACCAGAGUUUCUAUCAUAUGGUGUAAGACAUAUGCACUCUAGCGCACCAUUUGAGCCUAUUCUAUCUUACUUUUUGCUCAUAGUUAUGAUCUUAUCUCCUUGCUUAAUGCUAGCUUUAUUGUUGAAAGAUAUGCCUUGUUUAUAAAAUAUAGGGGGAGUGCCUAGUAUGUGUGUUGUGCAGUCCAAAGCACUUCUCUAGAUAGCUCACAUCUAGGGGGAGCCCGUCUAUAUUUUAUAGAUGUGGGGUUUGCCUUUGUUCUUUUUAUAUCCCUUUGUGCAAAUCCCAUAUUGUCAUCAAUCCACCAAAAGGGGGAGAUUGUAAGGGCAUAUUUAUCCCUUGGUAGUUUUGGUAAUUGAUGACAAUGCUUUUGCAGACUAAUCGUGUGCAGUGAGCAUUUUAGAUAUACCAUGUCUAAGCACAAGACGGUUUGGUGCCCCUCGAAGACUAUCGAAUACGGCGUUUCUCUAUGUUUCUUUUUGGUGGGUUUGAGUCGUAGGAAAGCCGUACUAUUGAGAGGGGGUCCGCGUUGGAAAGUUUUGGGUGGAAUCAUCACGUACACAUCUUUUCUAUUUGCACCACCUUUCCUUUGGCUCUUUGGAGCAUCCUCUGUUUUUCCGUGUUUCUACGAAAUGAAGGACUCCUAGUGUUGCUGAAUUGGGGCAUGCGGUAGUACUGCUCUCAGGAGCGGUAGUACCGCAGGCCCUUGCGGUAGUACCUCAGACCCUUGCGGUAGUACCGCAGGUGCCCACGGUGGUACCGCGUCCCCGGCGCGGUAGUACCGUGGCCCCAGGGCAGGCCCAGCGGCUCGAGCGGUUGUAGGGGCGGAUGUGAUUUUUUACAUACGCGCCCUACACAGUAGUACCACGCCUCAGGCACAGUAGUACCUGAGCUCUGGGCAGGCGCGGCAACACACGCGGAAGUAGGGGAGGAUGUAAUUUUUUACAUCCGCGCCCUAUGCGGUAGUACCGCUCCAGGUGUGCGGUACUACCGUGUCGGAUUUUUGCACAGAUCCCAACCCAGCGGAAGUUGCCAUGGAUGUAUUUUUAUAUGUCCGUGCCCUCCCAAAUAUGGACUAUCUCUACCUUGCGGUAGUACCGCAAGGGGGAGCGGUAGUACCGCACCAGCGGUUCUACCGCCCUCUGCUGGAUGGGCGGUAGUACCGCAGAGCAUUGCGGUAGUAUCGUGAGCCCUUGCGGUAGUACCGCGCCUCCGGUGCGGUAGUACCAUGCUUCGCAGGCAAAGUUGGUGGAUAACGGUUGGAUUUGUUCUUCCACUAUAUAUAAGGGGUGUAUUCUUCUCCGAGUUGACUACCUCUUCCAUCCCCAAGCUCCAUUGAUGCUCUAAGCUCUAUUUUUGCCCGAUCUCUCUCCCUAGCCAAUCAAACUUGUUGAUUUUCUAGGGAUUGGUUGAGAAGGCCUAGAUCUACACUUCUACCAAGAGAAAUUUGAUUCACCCCACUAAUCCCUUGCGGAUCUUGUUACUCUUGGGUGUUUGAGCACCCUAGACGGCUGAGGUCACCGCGGAGCCAUAUUCCAUUAUGGUGAAGCUUCAUGGUGUCGUUGUAAGCCUCCAAUUAAGUUGUGGAGAUUGCCCCAACCUUGUUUGUAAAGGUCUGGUCGCCGCCUCCAAGGGCACCAAUAGUGGAAUCACGGCAUCUCGCAUUGUGUGAGGGCGUGAGGAGAAUAUGGUGGCCCUAGUGGCUUCUUGGGAGCAUUGUGCCUCCACGCCGCUCCAACGGAGAUGUACUUCCCCUCAAAAGGAAGGAACUUCGGUAACACAUCCUCAUCUUGACCGGCUCCACUCUUGGUUAUCUCAUGCCUUUACUUGUGCAAGCUUAUUUGAGUUAUAUCCCUUGCUUUCUUGUGUGCUUGUUGUUGUUGUUUCAUCAUAUAGGUUGCUCACCUAGUUGCAUAUCUAGACAACCUACUUUGAUGCAAAGAUUAAAUUGAUAAAGAAAAGCUAAAAAUUGUUAGUUGCCUACUCACCCCCCCCCUCUAGUCAACUAUAUCAAUCCUUUCAAUGCUUCACUUAAAUCUUUUCAAGCUAUGGAAUUGCUCUAGUGCUUCACUUAUAUCUUUUUGAGCACGGUGUGCUUUAGUAACUUCAAAGAAAUGCUCUCAUGUUUCACUUAGAUUUAUUUGAGAGUUAGUAAUUUUUAAGAAAUUCUCUCAUGCUUCACUUAAACUAUUUUGAGAGAAGAAAAAUUUUAUGCUCAUGUUCUUCACUUAGAUUUGUUUGAGCUAUCAAAAGCAACAUAUGAAAUUAGUCCCAAAGUGAUAGAUAUUCAAGAGGGAUAUAAUAAAAACUUUCAUGAAGAUCAUUGGACUAAAUAAACUUUGAUUCUUUGUAAUCGUUUUGCGAUAUGAUGAUAUAAUAUGUGAGUCAUGUUGAUGAGUAAUUAUGCUUUAGUAAGAAUAUUGAUGUUAAGGCUUGUGAUUCCCUAUGCAAGAACGAAAGCCAAUAGUUAUGCAAUGAAAUUACAUCCUACUUAUGGUGCAUUAUUCGGUGUUAGUUAUGCUUAAUGCUUGCUUAUAAGAUUUUUCAUUUCUUGGUUGGAUGCUUCUCAAUCUUUUGCUAGCCUUCACUUGUACUAAGUAUGAUCACUACUUGCGCAUCCAAAAUCCUUAAACCAGUUUUACCAUGUGUGUAAGUGCAUCUAGUGCCCCUUAGUGAUUUUGGUGUAUUGAAGACUUAUAGGUUAAGGGACUAAUGUAUUUGUGAGUGUACACAGGUCUAUAAGUCUAUGAGGAGUUUGAUAUUUACGAUGAAAGUCGACCCCUAAAAAUGAAUGUUUUCAGCUGAAGACUUUGGUUUUCUUGAAGACUUUGAAAGUGUGGAAAUUGGUGUGACCAUUGAAGACUUGAUAUUCAUGCGAGGAUUAUGAAGCGUGAAGACUUUUGGUUUCGUAGUUUCAUUUUCUCUUUCUUUAGUCAUAGGAAACACCGUACUGUUAAAGGGGGUCGAGGUAAAACAAAGGAAAAGUUUCCAAGUGAUGCUCAUCUCAAAAUCCUACACCUACCCAAUCCUUUCGAGUGAAGCCAUUGGAAAUCUCAUACAGUUCAGUCAAUUUCUUCAGUGACAAAGACAAAGAUCUUCUGUUCCCUAAGGAAUUUGUUCUCACUGAGGAGUUAGGAAUUCGCCAGUGCGGAUUGCCUACAAGUGAGGAACAUGAUAGCCCUGAGGAAUUUGAGAGCUCAAAUUUCCGACCGUUGUUGUGCUAUGCGCCAGCUGUCCCAAAAUAUCUUAUCCACCUAAUGGUCAUAUCAUUGAAGGGCAUUUAUGUCUUAUCAUGUAGGGCUGCUCCCUAGGCUAUAAAUAACUGCCCCCCUAUAACCACUAGUUGGUUGGCUGCUCCAAGACAAACUGACACUUUUCAUUGAGAGCAUCCCAUCCUCCGAGGACUUUGAGCGAAAAUCGUCAGUGAGGAAAACCCAAACCAAAACACCUACAAACCCAAAGUGAUUGAGCAUCACUGAAGAGAUUGUUCCUGUGUGGAACCGACACUUAUUACCUUUGAGGACUGUGCAUCCUCCAGAUGGUUAGGUGUCAUGGUCUAGAGCAUCUAAGAGGAAAUUAUGGAUCGCCGAGUUACCGAGUCUGUGAAGGUUUGGAAGUCACCUGAAGACUUACCACGAGUGAUUGGGCGAGGUCUGUGUGAUCUUAGCUCAAGGAGAAUACGGUGGGGAUUGUGUGUCCUUGGGUUUAAAUACCUAGCCACUCCAACCAGACGUACGACUGUCACAGCAGUUGGAACUGGUCUACCUAAUCAUCGUCUUCACCAAGUACUGGUUCUAUUUCCUCAACCCUUCAUUUUCCUCAUACAUGUGUUGAUGCACUUGAUCGUUACUAUUUGAGGACUUUGACGGAAGACUUUCUCAAUUUCCUCAUUCCUAAUUCUUCAGUCACUCUGUUCUUUAGCCUUCUUAUCCUGUUUACACACUACUUGUACAUUGUGUACGUUUCAUUUCAUCAUGAUGAUUGUGUUGCUAUUUUGUUAUGCAUGCAUCUGAGUACCUAUUCCGCUGCUAAGUAGUUCAUUCCUUAGAAAUUUCCUCGCCUUGAAAUUCCUUAGUGACAAAUUUGUAAAAAUCGCCUAUUCACCCCCUCUAGUCGAUAUAAUGCACUUUCAAUGUGAGUCCACUAUAUUUACCUAUAUGUGGCAUUCUUCUGUCGUUCUAAGCAAAUUUGUAUGUGCCAUCUCUAAUUUUCAAAAUAAAUUCCCUUUUUGUGUGUUCGUACCGCUCAUGAAACGGAAGGGGGUGGCUGAUAUUUUUCCAUGCUAGAUCUGUUAUUCUCAAGAUGAUUGUUUAUUCACUUGUCAUUGCACCUGAGUAUGGCAAAGGUAUUAGGGAUGCCCAGUCCCGAAAUGAAAAAUGAAUUUACUUUAUGUUGUCAAAUAAUAAAUUGCUUGGAAAGUGUUGGUAUGGACGGCACUCGUGGAUUCGGUUAGCUGUGGAAUUUGAAAGUAUGGUGGAAAAAGGAAUAAACUUUAUUUUCUGUUUGGGAACCGCCUAUGAUAUAUCUAGCAUGGAAAGUAUUGGUAACUACUUGAUCAUUUUCAUUGACAGGAAAAGCAUGCCACCCAAAAUGUUUUUUAUCUUUAUAUUUUUCACUUAGAGCUCUAGCACCUCUACCAAUACCUACUUCCCUCUGCGAAGGGCCUUUCUAUUUUUACUUUAUGCAAUUUUUAUUUUUAUUUGAGUCUCCAUCUUCUCUUAUAAAGCACCAACUAAGGGGCACUAUGAUCGUACUUGAGCAUUGGGUGUACCUAAUAUGCGAGUGUGUUUCAUGAAUGGAUCAAUGAUUGAGCAUAAUGGGCUAGGGAUAACUUGCUUUAGUGUUGAUAUUUUGGAAGACGUGGUUGCUUGUUGAUAUGCUUGAGUAUUGAAAUCUUCAUGUCAAAACUAGACUAUUACUUUGAAUCGUAUAAAAGUCCAAAUGUCCAUGCUACAAAGAAAAGAAUAUGUGAUGAACAUGUUAGGCAGCAUUCCACAUCAAAAAUUCUAUUUUGAUCAUUUACCUACUCGAGGACGAGCAGGAAUUAAGCUUGGGAUGCUAAUACGUCUCCAACGUAUCUAUAAUUUUUUAUUGUUCCAUGUUGUUAUAUUAUCAUUCUUGGAUGUUUUACAACCAUUUGAUAGCAACUUUGUAUCAUUUUUUGGGACUAACCUAUUGACAUAGUGCCCAGUGCCAGUUGCUGUUUUUUUGCUUGUUUUUUACUUCACGGAAAAUCAAUACCAAAUGGGAGUCCAAACGCAGCAAAACUUUUUGGAGAAUUUUUUGGGCCACGAGACACAAGAUGGGCCAAAGAAGUACUAGAGGGGUGGCCCGAGGGGGACACAACCCACCUAGGCGUGCCUUGUGCCCAGGUGGGUUGUGCCCACCUUGAUGGCCUCCCGCACCGCCUCUUUUCUCUAUAAAUACCCCAAUAUUCCAAAAAAAUCUAGGGGAGUCGACGAAACACAAUU